GCAUGAAGCAAAAUUUAUCAAAGGAUUAUCAAGGAUGUGUUGAAUAAAUUAGAUCCCAAGUACUUAUAUGUUCCUGAGCACCUAGUAGGUAUGGAUCGCUUGCUCACAAUAUUUUGACUUUCUAAGUACUGCAACAGAUGAUGUACGCAUUGUGGGCAUACAUGGGAUGCCAGGAAUAGGAAAGACACUAUAGCAAAAGUUGUAUUUAAUCAACUCUGCAAUGGAUUCGAGGGAAGCUGUUUUCUUUCGGAUAUCAAUGAAAAAUCAAAACAAUUCAAUGGUCUGGCUCUUUUACAAGAGCAACUUCUUAAAGAUAUUUUAAAACAAGAUGUUGCUAACAUCAAUUUUGUAGAUAGAGGAAAGGUUCUGAUCAAAGACUGGUUUUGUCGCAAAAGAGUUCUUGUUGUUGCUGAUGAUGUGGCUCGUCAGGACCAGCUAAAAGCUUUGAUGGGAGAUCGAAGUUGGUUUGGUCCCGGAAGUAGAGUAAUUAUUACAAGAGAUUCAAAUCUUCUUCGUGAAGCAGAUCAAACAUAUCAGAUCAAAGAAUUGAAACCAGACGAGUCCCUUCAGCUUUUCAGCUGGCAUGCCUUUAAGGACUCCAAGCCAGCAAAAGAUUACAUUGAGCUUUCGAAGAAAGCCGUUGGUUACUGUGGAGGACUUCCUCUAGCUCUUGAGGUUAUAGGAGCUUGUCUGUACAGGGAAAACAAAGAUAGAUGGGAAAGUGAAAUUGACAACUUGAGCAGAAUUCCAAACCAAGAUAUUCAAGGAAAGCUUCUAAGAAGUUAUAAUGCACUUGAUGGUGAACUACAAAGAGCAUUCCUUGAUAUUGCAUGCUUCUUUAUUGGUAUAGAGAAAGAAUACGUCGCAAAAGUGCUAGGAGCCCGUUGCCGUUACAAUCCAGAAGUUGUUUUGGAAAAGCGUUGUUGAGGUAUUAUUUCUUUCGGUCUCUCUUGCAGAAAAGAAUCACACACAACUGGCACAUACAUUGAUUAAUGUCUAAAAUCUCAGCAUUCCUUAAAAUCAAUAUGUAUAUAGGCAAUAAUCAUUAUUAUUAUUAUUUUAUUUUAAAAAACAAAUAUCAUAUUUAAUAAUAUUUUUUAUUUUUCUUAUUGAAUCUAAAAAAUUAAAUAUUAUCUUUAAUAAUAUUUUUUUAUUAAAUAUUAAAAGUCUGAUUGGUUUUAUUUUUUAUUUCUUGAUUUAAUGAUAAUAUAUUUAUACAGGCAAUUUGCAACGGUCGUCACCGGUAUCGUAUUGACCCCUUUCCUGGUUUGAUGCCAAAUUGGAUGAGCUACAGGGGAGUAGGAUGCUCAUUGUCAUUCCAUAUACCUCCAGUCUUCCUAGGCUUAGGCUUAGUUUUUUGGGCUGUCCAUCCACUUGAGAAGGAUUAUCAUUAUGAUUAUUAUUUCAUAUACCUCCAGUCUCGAAUUAUUACUAUUAUAAGAAAUAAAAGCAACGGUAUUCAAUUGUUUAAAGGUUAUGGAUCACGAGGAGCUGCGAGAGGGAUAAGAUACAUACGUAGAAGUGAAAUGGCAAUGGAAGAUUACUGUGGAGAUGACGAAUUGGAACUAUGCUUUUAUUCAGAGCCAACAGAGUUUUACAAUUCUUCAUAUCACAAAUUGCACAUCAUUAAAGAAUGUGGGGUCCAUGUGAUCGCAGGGAAGUCAGAUUCAUUUGAAGAGUCGGAAGUGGGAAGAGAUUCAGUGAUGCUUUCACCACCGCUGUAUCAUCUGCUUCCUCAUCCUCAUUGUGGUUCAAUCACAGUGUCUACACCUAAUCAAUGGAGUGACUUUUUAUUUGCGAAGCUGCAAGGACAUAGCCUCAGUUUAAAAUUUGAUGGUAAGAACAAAUAUUUCAUUUAGUUAUUUUUAUUCUAUUAUAUUUAAUUUAUGAGAUUAAAUAUUAUCUUUAAUGAUUUCAUUACUAUUAUUUAAUAUAAAAAAUUAAAUAUCAUCUUUAAUAAAAAAAAAAUUAAAUAUUUAAGGCUUUUUGGUAAGAAUACAUAUUUCCUUUAGUUAUUUCUAUUUUAUUCUAUUUAAUUUGAGAGAUUAAAUAUCAUCUUUAAUUAUUUUAUUUUUCUUAUUUAAUCUAAUAAAUUAAGUAUUAUCUUUAAGAAUAUUUUUUAUUAGAUAUUUAGAGUCUCCUUGGUUUUAUUUUUUUUUUCUUAAUUUUAUGAUAAUAUUUUUCUUAUUUAGUAUAAAAAAUAAAUAUUAUCUUUAAUAAUUAGAUCUAUCGAAUAUCACUUAAAAAUAAAUUAUAACUUUAAUAAUUAUUUUUUGAAAACCAAAAAGCCAACACUCACUAACAUAUUUUAUUAAAAUCACUUUAGUUUAUUUAGAAAAUAUUGAAAACUGAUUUUUGUUUUUUUACAUUAAAAUAAAAAAUUGGAUAAUGUUUUUAUAUUUUAUUUCAAACUCCAUAUUUUAAAACAAAAAUUAAAAAGAUGUGAUAUUGACCUUUUUUAUUAUAAAGUAAGUUUUUUAAUUAAAAUUUCUUCUAAUUUGAUGGUUUUUAUGGUUAUUAAGGAUCUGGACAGUUGAGAUAGCACAAGAUCAUUUUGGAGAAUACCUGGAUGCUUGAACUUACUCUAAAUCAGUACAGUAUAUAUGUUUUACAAGUUGAAUUUGAAGAUCAUUUUCCAAACUUGGAAGUUUAUUGAAUGCUCUUUGAAAUCUUUUCCAUCCGCUUUCAAAUUGGAUGACCUAGUUGUUAUUAUCCAUGAUGUAAUUUAUACAUUUGAUGAAUAUUGUUUCAUUUUAUUUUUCUCACUUCUUCUAUGUAUUCUCCAAAAGAUGAAAAUCUUUGAUCCCAGUUAGAAAUAAAUUGGUUUUCUAGGAAGAAAUUAUUAGUUGAGAUAUAUUAUUUGAGUUGAUUCUUCAUUGUUUAAUGUUAUGAUAUAUUUAAGAUAAUUGAUGAAAACUAAUAAUACAUAGGAAAUUUCUGAAACCAUCCGUAAUUAGUCUAAUAAGUAAAGUGUUGUUAGUUUUGACUAUAAGAUCUUGCUAUGUAUUAUUGCAUGGUUUUUAUAUUUUUUUUGCAUUUCUUCUUUUCUAUAUACAACUUUUGUUUUUCUUGCAAGUUUAUCAUUAGCUUCAUGGCACCAACACUAAUUAGUAAUAAAUCUUGGACUAUUUAAAAAACAUAAACAUCGUUUAAAAUACCAAACUUGAAUUGCUCAAAUUAACCUAAAGAAACCCUAUGACAUUAAUCUAAUUUAGAAAAUAAUUAGUUUAUCCUUGUAGUCUAAGAAAAUAGUAUUUAAUUCUUAUUUUUUUAUAUUCAUCUAUGAUUUAAUGUGUUGAUUAAAAUUGACAAUUGAGUUUACUCACAUAUUGUUAUAUUGGUUUUGAGUUCAAAUAGAUAUUUGAAAAGAAAGUUUUUUCAUGAAUGCAACCCUUCAUGUAUUCAAUAUGAAUGAUGGGAGAUUUUAAUGUCUUGUGAAUACAUUCAUUUAUAUAUGGAUGAUUUUGCUAAGAAUUGACCGGUAAAAAACUUAAUUUCGUUAUAUAAAAACCGAAAAGAGAACAAUAAAUAGCUAAGAAUUGAUAUGAAAAAAAUAAUUUUAAGACCAUUUGUAUCUUGAAAACACAAUCUCAAUAAUCUUAAUGUGAGGAGUGAUUUCAUCUUAGUACUGCAUUUCAUUGGGCCUUUGGUUACUCGAAUUCAUCUUAGCACAACAUUUCAUUCUUAAAAUGAUGGUAAAUCAGAAACAACCAUCCGAUACUUGAAGAUCUAUUGAAGAUAUUGGACCUCUGGAAAUUUUGAAGAGAAUUGGAGCAGUUGCUUAUAGAUUAGCUCUUUCAUCCAGCAUUAAUUCUAUUUUUAUCAUUAAAAUUUAGAAUUAAUUCUAUUAUGUAUUUAAAUGUGUUUAGUUACCUUGUAAUUAAACCGUAUGUUGGAGUCCCUCAAAUAUGCUGGCCACAGCAAUAUUUUAGGUGGAUUGUAUGGGGCUGCAACUACUAUAUUUUAUGCUAUGCAAUAUUUUGUCCUAGAACCCUUGGCCCUCUAAAUUACCCAAAAAGGACAAUAAUUGAGCAUGGUAACAUGGUUUGUAUUCUGAGGCAAUCCGGGCUAUGAUUUGAAACAAAUGUAGCUAUUUUUUCUCCUUUCAUUAUAAAAAAUUAAUAUUCAUGGAUUAUUUUUGGUAUAAUUUAAGAAAGUAAGUGCUUUAAUCAAAUUUUACAUUGACCAUCCUCAAUGUGUUAAAAGUAAAUGUUAAUUACCAAGUUGUUGCAAUUAGAUCCGGGUGAGACCGGUGUUUUUUAUUUUUUUUAAAUGUGAAAUUUGAAACCCAUUAGUAUAUAUACUCUAUAUUUUCAAGAAAAAAAUUAUUUUUUUUCAAUGUGGGAUAAAAAAACGUUGGUUUAAAUACUUCAACUUAAAAGGAUAAUACAAUAUCUUUUUAAUGUGGGAUUUAAAACCUAUUAAUAUAUAUCAUAGUUAUUAUCUUUAAAUAUAUUAUAAUUUUAAUAAAUGGGCUGUACAUCAUGUAAAUUAUAAAAGAAUAUUUAUUUUUCUGAUAUAUAUAUAUAUAACAAAUUAGAUGAUACUAACAAGAAAAUAAGAAUUAGUUUGAAUAAAUGAUACUAGUUAUAUAUCUAGAGAACAAGUUCGAAGAAUAGAAUGAAGUCAAAUAUUCUUAAUAAAAAAGAAAAAAACACAUAAAGAAAUAAAAUAUGUUUUUAAUCAAUAAAUAUAAAAGAUGGAUGAAAAUAUUAGAGAAUAAUAAAGAGUUAGAUAUAGAAUCUGUUUGUGAAAUUUCUAAGAACUUAAUUACAAUUAUAUUAUAAUUUCUUCCCUAAAUUUAUUCAAAAUAUAGUAUUAGAAUUACUUAAUGCUAGGUUUUAAUAUAUAAUUAAAAAGUUUCCCAUGAACCAAAUAAUAAAAAUAUUGUGUAACUCUUUUGAAUGAAUUAUUAACAUAGGGACUGUUUGGGGUCUCUGACUUGGCUGAUUUUAUUUGAAUAUAUUAUUUGAUUAGUCCAUUUAUAGGUUGACUCAGUUUUCCUGCCUUGAUUGCCAGGAAAUUUCACUAGAAAUUUCAAGUAAUUUACACAGGAAAUUUCCUGGUGAUAAACUUGGGAUAUGAUUUUCAACUUUGCAUCAAGGAAAAAACGUUUCAGAUGCGAAAAAUAAAGAUAAAAGUGGAAAAUAAAAGCCGAAAAAAAAUCCCAAAUAUCGACAAACAUCCCAAAUACAGAUAUCCUUAAAUUUAACCCAUUCUAUUUUACAUAAAUAAAUGAUAAGAUUAGGUGAAGAAUUAUUUGAUGUUUCCAUGGAACUUUGAAAGAAUAAUAAGGAAUAACACUUUUGAGAGAUUAAGAUUAAUUUUUAAAUCAGACAUAAUCAAUUGAAAGAUUAAUACAAACUAAAAGAUGAUAAAUAAAUAAAUAAAUAUCAAUCAAUUUUGUACAAAUGCAAAAUGAUGCAAGUGGACGCUAUCAGUGUAUUCUUAUGGCUUUCAGUUGUUUCCCCCCCUAAAUUAAGACGUUGAAAAAUAGACUAAUGAAGCGGUCUUUACGCUUAGUGUGUCUUCCAAGGCAAAAAUAUUAAUGCAAUCAGCUAGUGCCUGCUGGAAAAUUACUCCAAGAAACUUCAUGGAACCACCAAAAUAAGAAAGAAAACAAAAACGUUAAUAAUGGUGAAAACAACCUGACAUUAUUGGUCGAGAUAAUUUAAGUUUUUUUUUUAAAAAAAAAAUAAUUAUUUCACAGAUAUUAUAAAUUAGUGUGUUAUGGCGUUACACGUCAAUUAAGAGAUCGUUUUUUUAAAACGUACUAACAAUCCAACACAAAGCCAUCUAAAAUAUUUACAAAUAGUUAUAGCAUUUAACUAUUUAUGAAGGGUUUUUUAAAAAUAUUUUUUAUUUAAAAAUGUUUUAAAAUAAUUCAUUUCCGCUUGCAUGUCAUGCUCCUCCAUUGUUUUUGCAGCCUGUCCCGUUCGCGUAUCUACACACCACGCAUUGCCGCUGUUUCCGGUGUUUUUUCCGCGUUCCUCUAGGAAUAAAAAAAUGUUAUUUUUUCUCGUUUAAUUAUUUAAAUAUUUAUUCAUGUAGUUUUCAUGUUUGAAGUGUUUUUUUUUUUGGAUUGCACGAUGUAAUUUAUGUAUUUGCACAAUAGCUGUGUGAUUUACAUAUAUUUUAUUUAUAUUGAAUGAUAUUUUUCCAUCCUACAUUAACCAUAAUUCUAUAGGUAGAAUCACCUUCGAAGUGACUAAAUCUGCUUUAAUAUAUUUAUGAUUCACCCAAUGCCACUCUCAUCGGUAUUCUAAAAGCGAAGAGAAGAGUAGAAGCAAUGUGAUAGCUAUACAGGUGAGACUUAAUAAUUUGCAGCGAUAAUUAUUUUUUAAAAUAUUUUUUUAUUUGAAAAUAUAUUAAUUUAAUGUAAAAUAAUAAAUAAAAUUUAAAAUUUUUAAAUUUUUUUUUAAAAUGUAAAAACAAAGAGGAUAUAAUCAACCUCUUGAUGUCACUAUUAAUUAUUGAUGUCGAUUGAUGCAAAUGCUAACACCAGCGAAGAGUUAAGAGGCCAAUAAGCCAAAGAAAGAAGACUCAACUGUACGUGGAAAAUUAUGCCAUUUGAAGUGAUAUUGCAAUUCAAUUGCCAAGACACCACGGCUGAUAGAUGUAGACAGCAGUAAUGAACAGGAAAAGUUAAAAAAAAUAAAAUAUUUCAUGUCUUCACAGUCGUUUAGAAAAGAAACAAGAUCAAACCUUGGUUUCAUUUUGUCAGUUGACUCCAAGUCAAUGUCUAAAUCUCCUCUUUUAUGCAACGAAGAUUAAUUUGGCAUGCUAGAAUUCCAAACUGGGUCACCCAGCGAAGGUAUAGAUUUUAUUGGACGACAAAUCAUAUUAAUAAAUAUGGGACGACAAAGAUCACAAACUUAAUCAAUUCAACCGUACUCCAAAGAACACUCAUACUCCAAUAUCAGCAACCACCACAAAAGUUACCACUCUAAAUUCCAGCUCAGUAAUUUAUUCUUUGACAAUUAUUGCAUUGCUAAUAAUUUGCAAGGACACAUACUUUGUAUACUCUAAAAAGAUGAUGAGCAUUUUUUAGUGAAUUAAGUUCAAUUAAAAAAAAACAAAAUAAGGUUAAAUUGAUGAUUAAUAAUGAAUUUUGUAUACUUUGCACAAGAUUUUCUUAUUCUCGUCAAUUAAUCUUAAAGCGAGGUUCCAAAUAAGCCUAAAAAAUAUUUAUUAUUGAUCAACAAUAUUGAAUAAUGGCUUAUUUUCUAGUAUAAAUUAUGUUUGAAAUAAAAUUGAUAAAAGAGUACAUGAUAGACAAUUAAUGAUGGAAUCGUAUAUUUUGAGACUAAAUUAAGAUUUUUCAAUUACCUUUAAAUAUAUUAUGGUUUUAAUAGGUGGACAAUGCAUCCUUUGAAUUUAUUACAAGUAAUGUGUAAUUUAAAUUAUAAAAAAUAUUUAUUUUUCUGAUAUACAUGAUAAUAAUAAAUUAGAUGAUAGUAACAAGAAAAUAGGAAUUAGUUUGAAUGAAUUGUACUAGUUCAUAUUAUGAUAUAUCUGGCGAAGAAGUUCGAAGAAUAGAAUGAAAAAGAACAAAAAAGAAAACACAAAAAGAGAUAAAAUAUGUUUUUAAUAAAUAUAAAAGAUGGAUAAAAUUAGAGAACAAGAAAGAGAUAUAUUUGUAAAAUUUCUAAAAACUUCCUCUUACUAACAUGCUGUAAUUUCAUAGCUUCUAUCAUCUGAUCUACAAAUAUAGAGGUAACUCGUAUUUUAUCAUGAGGGGAUGCCGAAUAGAUCUACAAAUCAAAGUGAUUUAAAAUAAUUAAGAGUGCAGCCAUAGUCUUACAGCUAGUACUAAAGUUUUUCUUUUCUAAAUUAAAGAUGAAUAUUUUUUGUUGGCAUCAAAUAAUUUAAAAUGAGAAUUACAGAGCAAAGGGUUUAAUCAAAUAUUACAAGAGAAGGUUUUGUGUAAUUAUUAGAUAAUUGAAAUCAUCACUAAUCUCCUUUUUUCAUUUUCUUUUUUUUAUUAUCCCUAGCAUGCACGAAACAUUGAAACUCCGCAAUUAUUCAUUUAUUAAUGCUUGAUGAAUUGUUAGAAGAGUGAGGUCUCCACAAACAUUGAAACACCGCAAUUUUUCAUGAUAAAAUCCAAAGGAUACCUUUUUUUGAUAAAUAUUGAUAAUCUAUUAUCAAGUUUUAUUUUUAUCAUUUAAAUUUAGAAUUAAUUCUAUUAUGUAUUUAAAUGUGUUUAGUUACCUUGUAAACCGUAUGUUAGAGUCCCUCAAAUAUUCUGACCACAGCAACCACUAUAUUUUAUGCCAUGCAAUAUUUUGUCCUAGAACCCUUGGCCCUCUAAAUUACCCAAAAAGGACAAUAAUUGAGCUUGGUGAUCUACGAGCACAAGGGGUACAGUUCUUAAUCGAAUUUUAGCAAAAUCAAGGAUCCAAGAAUUGGCCUCUGUAAAUUCCUUCCUCAAUAUUUACCAAUACUACACGCUUGAGAAAUUUCCUUGCUUUUUUUCCUUUACAUACUGUUACCUUUCACCUUUUAUAAUUAUGAUUAUUGCAUUGCUAAUAAUUUCCAAGAAAGAUGAUGAACUUUUUUUAGUGAAUUCAAAAUAACAAAGAAAUAAGGUUUGUUGCGGCUUUUCUUGUAACCUCGCUCUGGGAUUAAUAGCGAGAAUAAGAAAAUCCUGUGCAAAUUAUACAAAAUUUAUUAUUAGUCAUCAAUAUUUAUUCUUGAUCAUCAAUAUUGAAUAAUGGCUUAUUUUCUAGUAUAAAAUGUGUUUGAAAUAUGAGAUUGAUGUUCUUAAAUAUUUUUUAAUGAUUUUAAUAUGUUGAUAUUAGAAAUAAAAAUAAAAAAAACUGGUUUUGUUUUCGAAAAGAAAUUAACAAUCAAUUACUUGUUUACUAUGUUUUUAAGAACCAAAAUAAAUAAAUAAAGUUUUAUCUUUCCGUUUCCAAAUUUGGUAGCGGGAAAACCUCCUCAUCGCUGAGCAGGUUUUGUUUUAGUUUAAGCGUGACGGAGACGAUACUAAAAAUAACAAUAACAAAAAAAAAACUGGUGUAAAUAUCAUUUAUUUUUGUAUUUUAAAAAUAAUUUUUUAAAAAAUUAAAAAUAAAUUUUGUUUUUUAUUUCAAAAUAAUAUUUUUAAAUUAUUUUAAUAUACUGAUAUUAAAAAUAAUUUUUAAAAGAAAAUUUUCUCAAACAUAAAGUUUAGCCUGCAGAUCUUCCGCUGAUGCCAUCUCAUUGUUGUAUGCAUCCAAGCUAAGCCAAUUAAAGAAAGAAGAUUUGAAGAAUACCACCAGCAGCAGGAGUAAUACAUUAACAUAACAGCAUUAUGGCAGGAUGAGGGACGACCUCAGUGCAAGGGCGGAGACAUGUUAAAGUCUUGGGCGCGCUAUAACCUAGAUUAAAAUUUUAUUAAUAUUUUUUGACUAGUUUUAUGUAAAAAAAUUUAUAAUUCUUGAUUGAGUUAUUAAAAAAAUUUAAAAUUUACGUGGAGCCUUCUAAUAUAAUGUUUUAACUUGGAUUAAAAUUUCAAAAUAUUUUGAAAAAUUUAAAAAUUUAAUGAAAAAUCAUAAUUUAAUCAGUUUUAUAUUAUUGGAUGUAAUUUUCAAUCCAACCAUCAGAUUGAACUGAAAUUUUACGAGGGAUCUUAAAAUAUAUUAAAUAAAAUAUAGUUAAAAUUUUAUGAUGAACAGAGUUUAAUAGUGCUAACAAAAAAAACCAUCAAAUAAAAACAAAUCAAGAAUAAAAUGAUUAUUUCCAUUAAAAAGUAAAAUAAAUUAACUCUUCCUUCAUUUUAUACGUUGUCAUCCUUACAUUAGAGUACACUCCCACAUGCGUUAUGGCAGCGGUUUGCUCUGUUAUUGUUCUCAUUUCUCUUAUUGUUGAAAGAUCCCUUCGCCUCCUUGGAAAAGACAUUCCAAGUGUGCAGUGUUUAUUGUCAUAAAGUUUUUCAAACUCCCAAUAUUGAGAGAGAAAUUAAAAGUAGCAAAAGGAUACAACCAGUGAGGACAAUAUCCUCCAGCUCAUCAAAAAGUACUUUCGUGCAUGUCAUUAAGUUUUUCAAACAUCCAAAAUAGAGAGAGAAAUUUAAAAAAAAAAAAAAAAGCAAAAGGAAACAACCCCCAACCCAUCUUUCUUGUUCCCUUUUCCUUCUUUAUAUGGCUUACUCAAUGAAAAAGCAAGCACUAAUGCACCUUCUCCCCAAAAGUUUUAGUAAUUUACAAAGGAAAUUUCUACUUUAUAUGAAUUGAAAAACUAUUAUUGACUGACUUCUUGCAAAGUAUUUGCAAGAAAGCUAAAGAAUUAAAGAUUUUUAAUUUUUAAAAUUAUAAUUUAAAAUUCAUUGACGAGUGUGUCUACAUGUACAUAUAGGAACCGCUGAUUCAAUUUGAAUAUAUUAUUUGAUUAGUUUAAUUCGUGACUUGCAUUGACUAAAAAUUAGUAAAUAAUCCAAAAAUAACAAGAAAAUAAAUAUAUUUCCUAAAUCUGAUUUGAUUAUAUUUUUUAUCUUGAUUGACUUACUUGCUAAGUCUUCACUAAGCAUAAAUGAAUUUUAAUCUAAGAAUCUGUUUGAUAUUUCUUCAUUUAUUAAUGAAAUAUUAUUUUUAUUGUAUAGUUCUUGGUUCUGAGUUGAUCCACAGGUCAAUAUGUGAACAGUACAUUCUUUGAAUUUAUUAGAAGAAAUGUGUAAUGUAAAUUAUAAAAAAAUAUUUAUUUUUCUGAUAUAUAUAAUAAUAAUAAAUUAGAUGAUAGUAACAAGAAAAUAAAAAUUAAUUUGAAUAAACUGUACGAGUUUCUAUUUUGAAGAAUAGAAUGAAGUUAAAUAUUCUUAAUAAAGAAAGAAAGAAAGAAAAUAUAUUUUUAAUAAAUAUAAAAGAUGGAUAAAAUUAGAGAACAAGAAAGAGAUAUAUAUAGAAUCUCUUUGUAAAAUUUCUAAAAUUAAACUUCCGCUUCUAACAUGCUGUAAUUUCAUAGCUUCUAUCAUCUGAUCUACAAAUAUAGAGGUAACUCAUAUUUUAUCCUGAGGGGAUGCCGAAUAGAUCUACAAAUCAAAAUGAUUUAAAAUAAUUAAGAGUGCAUCCAUAGUCUUACAGCUAGUACUAAAGUUUUUUUUUUUUCUAAAUUAAAGAUGAAUAUUUUUUGUUGGCAUCAAAUAAUUUAAAAUGAGAAUUACAGAGGAAAGGGUUUAAUCAAAUAUUAAAAGAGAAGGUUUUGUGUAAUUAUUAGAUAAUUGAAAUCAUCACUAAUCUCCUUUUUUCAUGUUCUUUUUUUAUUAUUAUCCCUAGCAUGCACGAAGCAUUGAAACACCGCAAUUUUUCAUUUAUUAAUGCUUGAUGAAUUGUUAGAAGAGUGAGGUCUCCACAAACAUUGAAACACCGCAAUUUUUCAUGAUAAAAUCCAAAGCAUUGGUACUUUGGUGUUUGUGGGGCUGGUAAAUGGAAGAACAGAUCAAGAGAUGAAAUCCCUCUAUACCGCUGUUAUUUUUUUCAAGGUGCGUACUUUGGUGUGUAUCACGUGUUUGUUGCAUUUACUGCAUAUGAUAGUGGGAACUUGUUUAUCAAGAAUUAAAGCAGUUGCUUAUGGAUAAUUAGCUCUUCCAUCCAGUAUUAAUUCUAUUAUCAAUUGUAGUUUAGUCAAUGGUUCUAGAUAAAAAAAUUUAAGAUAUUUUUUUGAUAAAUAUUUGAGAAAUAUUGAUCAUCUAUUAUCAAGUUUUAUUUUUAUCAUUUAAAUUUAGAAUUAAUUCUAUUAUGUAUUUAAAUGUGUUUAGUUACCUUGUAAACCGUAUGGUAGAGUCCCUCAAAUAUUUUGGCCACAGCAAAUUGUACGGGGCUUGCAACCACUAUAUUUUAUGCCAAGCAUUAUUUUGUCCUUGAACCCUUGGCCCUCUAAAUUACCCAAAAAGGAUAAUAAUUGAGCACAAGUGGUACAGGUCAGGCUUAAACUCAGCUUACUAGAGCCAGUUCUCAAUUUUAGGCACCAGCUCUCAAACGAAUUUUAGCAAAAUCUGGGCUAGGAUUUGAAACAAAUGUAGCUCUUUUUUUCUCCUUUUAUUGUAAAAAAAUAAUAUUCAUGGAUUAAUUUUGGUAUAAUUUAAGAAAGUAAGUCCUUUAAUCAAAUUUUAGAGUGAUCAUCCUCAAUGUGUUAAAAGUAAAUGUUAAUUACCACUAAGAAGGAACGCAAAAAGACAUUCCUUUUCUUGUCAUAAAGUUUUGAAGAGCUAUCAAAACGUACUAUCGUGUAUUAUUGUCAUAAAAAUUUUCCAACUUUCAAUAUAGAGAGAGAAAUAAAAAUAAAAAGCAAAAGGGAACAACCAUUUUGAUAUUCAAUCAGUAUGAGUGAGAAAGAAAGGAAGCAUCUUUCUUGUGUCCUUUCCCUUCUUUACAUGGCUUACCCGAUGAAAAAAGCAAACACCCCAUUUUGAUAUUCAAUCAGUAUGAUUGAGAAAGAACGACAGGGCAAGGUUUGUUGAGGCUUUUCUUGGAACCUGGCUCCUUGCUUUUUUUAAUGCGCGGACCAAAUACUUGAGAAAUUUCCUUGCUUUUUUUUCUCUAGAUACUGUUACUUUUUACCUUUUAUAAUUAUGAUUAUUGCAUUGCUAAUAAUCUGCAGCAAAGAUGAUGAACAUUUUUUAGUGAUUUCAAAAUAACAAAAAAUAAGGUUUGUUGAGGCUUUUCUUGGAACCUCGCUCUGGGAUUAAUUAGCGAGAAUAAGAAAAUGCUGUCCAAAUUAUACAAAAUUUAUUAUUAAUCAUCAAUAUUUAUUCUUGAUCAUCAAUAUUGAAUAAUGGCUUAUUUUCUAGUAUAAACUGUGUUUGAAAUAUCAGGUUGAUGUUCUUAAGUGUUUUUUUUUAUAUAAUUUUAAUAUAUUGAUAUUAAAAAUAAAAAUAAAAAUAAAAAAAUUGAUUUUGUUUUAAAAACAAAAUUGACAAUCAAUUACUUGUUUACUAUGUUCUUAAGAGCCAAAAUAAAUAAAUAAAGUUUUUUCUUUCCGUUUCCAAAUUUGGUAGCCUGAAAACCUCAUCGCUGAGUAGGUUUUGUUUUAGUUUAAGCGUGAUGGAGAUGAUACUAAAAAUAACAAUCACAAAAAAAAUGUUGUAAAUAAUAUUUGUUUUUAUAUUUCAAAAAUAUUUAAAUUUUUUAAAACAAACAUUAUUAUUUAUUUCAAAUUAAUAUUAUUAUAGUAUUUUUAGAUUAUUUUGAUGUAUUGAUAUUAAAAAUAAUUUUUUAAAAAAUAAUUUUUCUUAAACAUAAAGUUUAUCCUGCAGAUCUUCCGCUGAUCCCAUCUCAGCUAAGCCAAUUCAAGAAAGAAGAUUUGAAGAAUACCACCAGCAGCAUUAUGGCAGAGGGAGGGAAGACCUUAGUGCAAGGGCGGAGGCAUGUUAAAGGCUUGAGUAUGCUAAACUUGGAUUAAAACUUUAUUAAUAUAUUUUGACUAGUUUUAUGUAAAAAAAAUUGUAAUUCUUGAUUGAGUUAUAAGGAAAUUUAAAAUUUACGUGGAGCCUUCUAAUAUAAUGUUUUAACUUGGGUUAAAAUUUCAGAAUAUUUUGAGAAAUUCAGAAAUUUGAUGAAAAUCAUAAUUUGACCAGUUUUAUAUUAUUGGGUGUAAUUUUCAAUUCGACCAUCAGAUUGAGCUGAAAUUUUACGAGAGAUCUUAAAAUAUAUUGAAUAAAGUAUGGUUAAAAUUUUAUGAUGAACAAAGCUUGGUAGUACUAAAAAAAAAACCGUCAAAUAAAAGCAAAUCGACUUAUUAAGGAUAAAAUGGUUUUUUGCCAUUAAAAAAUAAAACAAAUCAGCUCUUCUUUCAUUUUAUAUGUUGCCGACUGGGUAGAAGCAGAAUAGGAAAAGAAAAAAAAAAAAAAAAGGUGAGAGAGGAAAAGAUAAAAGUAAGGGAAAAACAUUAAAAAAAAUCCAAAGAAAAAAAAAUAAAAAAAGUGAAAGAAUAACCUUGUAAACUUACAAAGGCCAACUUAUAAAAUACUAAUUUAAGGAAGAAUCAAGUGAAGGAAAGAGGAAUUGAGAAAGGAAAAAAAUUUAAUUAUUUUAUUUUCUAGUUGACAUGAGAUUGUUAUUUUAUCCCGGUUGAGUGGUUGUUACAAUAUCAAUUCAGAUUCGAUUAUAGAUGAAUUAUAUUCUAUAAAACAUUGAAUGAUGUAACUUCAAUAGUGAGUUUAUUUUUACUUUCACUUUAAUUUUAUGUAUUUUCAAAUUUAUUUUUUAAUAUUUUGGAUAAUAUAUUUGAAUUAAAACUUUAUUGUUAGUUUCAAAAGUUUAUGUACAUAAAUUAAUAAUUAAUUUUUAAAAAAAAUUAUAUAUUUAUUUAAUAACGACAGGAAAAAUUGUCUCGCAUAAAUUCCCACAUGCGUUGUGGCAGCGGUUUGCUCUGUUAUUGUUCUCAUUUUUCUUAUUGUUGAAAAAUCCCUUCACCUCCUUGGAAAUGGCAUUCCAAGUGUGCAGUGUUUAUUGUCAUAAAGUUUUUCAAACUUCCAAUAUUGAGAGAGAAAUUAAAGGAGCAAAAGGAACCAGUGUUUAUCGCCUCCCCAUCUUUCUUGUUCCCUUUCCCUUCUUUACAUGGCUUCCUCAAUGAAAAAGCAAGCACUAUAAAUAUAUUAUGGAAAACAAGAUAAAAAGAAAUCUUUUGGUACAUCUAUAUAUAUAUAUAUAUUAUGGAAUUAACAUGGUAUCAGAAUAUCUGUGAAGUAUUGCUGGGAAGUCAUAAUUUUUGACACGCCUAAUCACAGUCUUUGUUUGGAAUUUUCCAUCAUUUGAUCUUGACAGCAUCAGAUUAAACAAUUGCAUGGAAAUGGUCUGCUGGAGAGAUUUUCUAUUGACCGGGAAUUUCGCUCGAAAAUUUCUAGUAAUUUAUAAAGGAAAUUUCUACUGUAUAUGAAUUGAAAAACUAUUAUUGACUGACUUCUUGCAAAGUAUUCGCAAGAAAGCUAAAGAAUUAAAGUUUUUAAUUUUUAAAAUUAUAAUUUAAAAUUGUAAGAAAAAAAUCAAUUGUUUUAAAAUUGUUUUCAAAAAUAAAACAUCAACUAUUUAUAUAAUAGCUAAAUCUAUUAAGAUAAAUCCAAAAUAACUAGUAAAAUCAAUGACUUGCAUUAUCAAGCUUGACGAAUUUUAAGCUUAAUCUAUUGUAUUAUCUUUGAUGAUCACUUCACAUGUAUCUCUUGCUUGUAUUUGCAAGAGAGAAGAUACCUUAUGCAAUUGCUCCAUUGCUAAUUGAUUGUUCCUUCUGCUCUCUCAUUAUUAAGCUUAAACUGUUGUAUCAUCUUAUGUUCCACAUUAAGGAUAUAUAAUUAAUUAAUCGGACCGACCAUUAUGUUAAGGAUAAGAGAUUGUGGGCGCCUCUUUUUUCUUGUUGACAACUCAUGAUUUAUUUAUAGCAGUUAAGGAUAUAAUUAAUCGGACCCACCAUUAUGUUCCACGUUAAAGAUAUAAUCCAAUGUUUCAUAAUGAUCAUCUUGAAUUUGGUUUUUUCUGCAUUAAAGUAUAACAGGUAAAAUUAAAUGAUUAUUGAAUGAAUUUACAUAAAUAUUAAGUCCAAUAACAUAAUUAAAUUUUUAAUAAAUCAAUUUGAUUUAAUCAUGGGUCAAAUUAAUUUUUAAUUAUAUUUAAAUUAAUUUAAUCCAAUUAAAGGAUUUAAUUAAAUGCAAGAUUUAAUUAUACUUUAAAAGGGUUAAAUUAAUUUUAUUAGAGAUUUAAUUCAAAAAAUUAAGUUUGAAAACUCAAUUUAGUUUAAUUAAAAAGAUUAAUAUUUUAAAAAAUCAAAAUUAAUUUUUAUCAAAUUAAUUAAUUAAAAUCAGGAUGCAAAAAUAUCACAACACAAUUGAAGUUUAGCUUUUAUCAUUUCAAAAGUUCUAGCCUCAUCUUCACUACUUGUAAAAUUGGGGCAGAUUAUGGACUUAACCGAGCAAUUACCGCUCGAAAUUCCUCGUAAUUUAUGAAGGAAAUUUCCUUGUUCUUUCUCGGUAUAUUUUUUUCAUAUUAAUUAUUUUUUUCAUAAUUAUUUGCUCUGAUGAAGAUUACCAAAUACAAAAAAAAAAAAAAUUGUUUCUAAAAUAAUAGGAUAUGAAUAAUUAACUAUAGAAACUAAAGAGUGGAUCGGUUAUCUUUAACGUUUGCAAAUAAUUAAAGAGAGAUAAAUUUUGUGAUGAGUUAUGAUUAACGCAGAAGCAAAUAAAAGAGGAACAUAAAUUAUAAGCAAAUAUUGUUUUCGGUUUCGACUUUAAAUCAAACCUAUAAAACCUAACCAUUACAGCUUCUCUCUCCAUCUUCUUCGUCUGCUUUUGUCAUGGCAUCAACUCAUCGAGUACAGGUAGAGAAACUUGAGGUCUAUCAAGUCAUCCUGUCCUUGAACUCACUUGACCCAGCCAUCGAGUUAUUUUUUCCGCUCAUCUUUUUUCCUACAAACUCACCAAGACAGCACCGGAUUAUUUUAACUCAGUGAUCCUUCCAGGAAGGCCAGGCCACAUUGAUUGUGUUAAAAAAAAAAAAUCUAAUUCAGCUUAGUAUCAACUGCAUUAUAAUUAUUUAGGAGGAUAGUUGAACCAUAUUUUUUAAAAAAAUUAAAUUUUUUUUUUAAUUAUAACUACCUCGAAAUUACCACUCCAAAUUCCAGCUCAAUAUCGAUCAACAUGUGGCUAAAAUUGAUAAAAGACACAUAAUGAUGGUAUUGUAUAUUUUGAACUAAAUUGAGGUUUUUUAAUUAUUACUUCCAAAUAUAUCAUGGUUUUAAUAGUUGGCCGGUAUAUUAUAUAAAUUAUUAAAAAAUAUUUAUUUUUAUUACAUAUGUAGUAAUAAUAAAUUAGAUGAUAAUAACAAAAAAAAAAGGAAUUAGUUUGAAUAAAUAGUACCAGUUCCUAUUAUGAUAUGUAUAGAGAAGAAGUUGGAAGAAUAAAAUGAAGUCAAAUAUUCUUAAUAAAAAAAUACACAGAAAUAAUUAAAAUAUGUUUUUAAUAAAUAUGAAAGAUGGAUGAAAAUAUUAGAGAACAUGAAAGAGAUAUAUAAUCUCUUUGUAAGAUUUCUAAGAACUUAAUUACAAUAUUAUUCAAAAUAUAUAUUAUUCUAGGUUUUAAUGUAAUUAAAAAGGAAGUAUUUGCAAGAAAGCUAAAGAAUUAAUUUUUUUAAUUUUUAAAAUUAUAAUUUAAAAUUGUAAGAAAAUAAUCAAUUGUUUUUAAAAAUAAAACAUCAACUAUUUAUAUAAUAGCUAAAUCUAUUAAGAUAAAUCGAAAAUAACUAGUAAAAUCAAUGACUUGUAUUGACGAGUGUGUGUAUAUAUACAUAUAGGAACUGCUGAUUCGAUUUGAAUAUGUUAUUUGAUUAGUCUAAUUCAUGAUUUGCAUUGACUCAAAAUUACCACUAGAAAUUCCUAGUUUCGUGGUGCUUUCUCGGCUUGCAAAUGAAUAUAAAGCAUAUCCUUUUAUCCUAUAUAAAGAAUACAAUUAACCUUUUUAUCUUUUAUAAUUAUAAUUAUUGCAUUGCUAAUAAUUUGCACGAAAGAAUAUUCUUUCUCUGAAAAGGGCUUGAGAAAACCCUAAGUAUAGUAUAUAAUCUCUUAUAGGAAUCUCUUUCUUAAAUCAUCAAAAUAUCAAAGUAUGUUACCAAAGACUAUGACUACAGUUUAUAUAUAGAAACAACCAAAUAUAAAAAUUAUUAUUUUUUAAAUAGAAAAACCAGAAGAGCUUGAUAAUAUUUAAUAAAAAAAUAAAAUAGAAAAAUUAUUCCUUUCUAAGUAGAAAAAAAUUAUAAAGAUUUAAUAAUACUAAAUAAGAAACAUUAAAAUUUCUAAACUAAAUUAAAAAAAAUAAAAAACUGAGAAAAUAUUUAUUAUCCCAAUAGUUCUUAUAUUAAAAUCUCAUUUAUCAUAUGUUAUAUCUAUCAAAAUAAUAAUAAUAAUAAUAAUUUGUGACGUGAACUAAAGCUAUAUGUAAGAAAUAUAAAAACCCGGUAGAGACCAGUUUUGUUUUUUCAAAUAUGUUUUUUCUCCUAGUUAGAGACUUCUUUUUUUAUAUAUUUUCUAUUGGUUACUAAACCAUUUCAAAGUUCAUAAGAAUAUUUUAUUUUUUCAAUAUGAAAUAAAAAAAAAAAUUGUUUAAAUACAUCAAUUUAAAAGAAUAAGAUAAUAUCUUUUUAAUAUGAGAUAAAAAAAACUUUUUAAAAUAAUUUUUUAAACUUUAUUAUAUGCAACAUGUUUAACCUAUAUUCAUAUGAAUUGUUUCUUUAAUUUUUUCAUAUGAAAUAUUAAAAAUCAAAUAUAUAUUUUUUUCGUCAAUCCAUGUAACUCGAGACUCUGUUUUUUAGUCGGGUCAAUUUUAGGUGGGGUUAGAUAACUAUGAGUAAAUUUAUUGAAAAAAACUUAAUUUUUUUUGUUUUUAUAAAAAUAAAAGGUAAAGAAUUAAAUUAUGACAUAUAUCACUAAUUAUUGACAUACUCUUAUUACAAACACAAAACUUUAUGUCACUUCAUGAUACCCAUGUUUUCAACGCUUUACACUGCUUUAAUAAAUUGUUACAGUAAAAGCACAGAGAGGAACGGUUCAAGAAAAAACAAUAAUGGAGUUGAAGCAAAAUCUGUGUUUGAUUUUUUCUUUUUUGUGUUUUCGGUACAUUGAUCAACAAUAGCUUGGAAGAGUUUGGUAUCUGUAACACGUGGACCCAGUUGUUGUGGAAACUUUGCAGAGGAUCUGCACUCUGCAGGAAGAAAAAUGAUUUUAAUGGAUGUACUGUACAUGAUUUGAAUUUAUUAAAAGUAACAAGAUAUAUACAAUUAGAUGCUGUUUUUCGAUCUUAGAAGUAGCAUGAUUUUAAUAUACACCUUCUUUCAACGUUUUACACUGCUUUAGUCGUCAAAAAAAAAAAAAAAACUAUUAGAUGCUAUAAAACAAGAUAUAUACAAUUUAAUUUGAGAGUGCAAUAGAUAUUAUAUUUCAAAAUAUUUUUGAAAUAUAUUAAAAUAUUACUUUUUUUAAAAAAAAAUUAAUAUCAUAUAUUAGAGCAAUAAAUAAUAAUAAUAAUAAUAAUAAUAAUAAUAAUAAUUUAAAACAAUAAAAAAUCUCAAAAUCUUUUAAAAAUAUAAUUUUACUGCACUCCAAAACACACCCAUGCGCCCUCAGCAACCAUCACGAAAUUACAUCUCUAAAUUACAGCUCAAUAAUUUAUUUUAGCAAUUAUUGCUUCCUCGUCGACAAUCAUUGCUUUGCUAAUAAUUUGUAAGAAACUUUCUAAAUUUCCUUCUAUUUUAUUUUUAUCAUGGAAACUUUAAGUCACAUGUGCGCCUACCACGAAAUUACCGAUAAGUAAAUUUAAAUGAGUAAUAGUGUAGGUUUCAAUUAAAAAUGCUUUAAUUUGAAAAAUUAUGUUAAUAAUAAUAUAAAUUAAUUUUUCUUCAUAAAAAAGUAAUUGGGUAUUAAUUUAGGCUAUAAAGAUGAAAUAAUAAUAAUAAUAAAAAAGAGUUCGAGGGUAUUCAUUUUAUUAUUUGUUAGGUAACUGUAUAAUUUAAUUUGUUGAUGUGGAAAAUAGCACAAAGUUUUUGGCAUGGCUAUUGAUGAGAAGCAAAAGCAGUAGCAGUCCAUGAGGACCAUCACCAUCACCAUCCUAUCGCUUCGCCGACAUUCAAAGUCUGAAAACGUAUUAUUGUCAUAAAAUUUUUCAAACUUCGAAUAUAAAGAGAUAAAUAAAUAAAAAGCGCAAAGGAAACAAUAUGAUAAAUUUAAACUAUACUAAAGGUCAGUUUUUAACUCUGUAUGUGUGAAUUUACAGUGAAAGUUUGAUUUUGCCCUUUCCGAGUGGAAAGUGGGAACUAUCUACUAUGAGAGCUUUUGUAAACGCGUGGAUCCAGUUGUUGUGGAAACUUUGCAAAGGAUCUGCAGGAAGAAAAAUGAAAUUUGCAAAGUAUUUGUGUGUAUUAUAUAAUUGUGUUAAUUUAAGGAUUAUUUUUUAGUUGUAUUAAUUUAGAAAAUUUUUUUUUUCACCGGAAAACUCAACUCUAAUUACCUGUAAAGUGCAAACUAAUUACGUUCGUAUAUUUUUUUUGUGGUAACAGAUGCAAUAUUCUUUUUAAUUCAAGAUAUAUAAAAUAAUUAUUUUUUUUAAAAUUAUUUUUUUAUUUUAGUGCAUUAAAAAUAAAAAAUAGUAAUUUAAUAUUUUCUUAAAAAAAUAUUUUAAAAACACUUAAUUUUUUUUUCAACUGUACUAUUCCUUGAAAAAUCUCAAGCUCUAAAUAACAUCUACUAGUUUCAGAAUAUCUGUAAGUCAUAACUUUUUGCUUAAUCAGUCUCUUUGGGAAAUUUAUACCAUUUGAUUUUGACAGUAUCAGAUUAGACAAUUGCAUGGAAAUGGUCUUCUUAGUUUACCGUGUGAAAAAUCAAUAUUAUUGUCCUGGAGGGAAGUAAGGUUUUUUUUUAAAAAAAAUUAUUUAAAAAUAUAUUAAAAUAAUUUUUAAAAUCAAAAUGAUUUAAAAAUACUUAAAAAAAUAUAAGACUAAAAAUUAAUCUAAAUGUUUUUGAAAAAUAGUUCAACCAAAGUGAUCAAUAUCGAUUAUUAUCUUUUAUGUAAGAUUAUCUUUUAUCUUUGACAAUUAUUGCAUUGUUAAUAAUUUGCAAGAAAACAUGCUUUCUUAAUUUCUUUUUUUUUUUUAUCAGGAUAGUAAAUGUUCUAUUUGUUUUUGUGUUUCAAAAAUAUUUUUAAAAAAAUUGAGAUUUUUUUAUUUUUUUUAUUUACUUUAAAUUAAUAUUUUUACAUAUUUUAAGAUUAAUUUAAUGUGUUGAUUUUAAAAAUAUUUAAAAAUAAUUUGAUGGUCUUUAAAUAAAUGUUUUUUUAGAAAAUCAUGAACCAUCACUGGGUAUCGAAAAAAGAAUUAUGGUUGAUUUAGCCUCAUCUUCUCUGCUUGUAAAAUUGGGGCAGAUUAUGGACUUAACCGAGCAAUUACCGCUCAAAGUUCGAAGAAUAGAAUGAAAAGAACAAAAAAGAAAACACAAAAAGAAAUAAAAUAUGUUUUUAAUAAAUAUAAAAGAUGGAUAAAAUUAGAGAACAAGAAAGAGAUAUAUUUGUAAAAUUUCUAAAAACUUCCUCUUACUAACAUGCUGUAAUUUCAUAGCUUCGUACCAGCUGAUCUACAAAUAUAGAGGUAACUCAUUUUAUGAUGAGGGGAUGCCGAAUAGAUCUACAAAUCAAAAUAAUUUAAAAUAAUUAAGAGUGAAUCCAUAGUCUUACAGCUAGUACUAAAAUAAUCAGUAUGAGUGAGAAAGAAAGGAAGCAUCUUUCUUGUGUCCUUUCCCUUCUUUACCCGAUGAAAAAAGCAAACACCCCAUUUUGAUAGGCAAGGUUUGUUGAGGCUUUUCUUGGAACCUGGCUCCUUGCUUUUUUUAACGCGCGGACCCAGUUGUUGCCACCAAAUUCCUUCCUCAAUAUUUACCAGCACUACAUACUUGAGAAAUUUCCUUGCUUUUUUUUUUCUCUAGGUAGUGUUACCUUUUACCUUUUAUAAUUAUGAUUAUUGCAUUGCUAAUAAUCUGCAGCAAAGAUGAUGAAUAUUUUUUAGUGAUUUCAAAAUAACAAAAAAUAAUAAAAUUGAACCAUAUUUUUUAAAAAAAUUAAUAUCUUUUUUAUAAUUAUACUCCAACAGCAACUACCUCGAAAUUACCACUCCAAAUUCCAGCCCAAUAUCGAUCAACAUGUGGCUAAAAUUGAUAAAAGACACAUAAUGAUGGUAUUGUAUAUUUUGAACUAAAUUGAGGUUUUUUAAUUAUUACUUUAAAAUAUAUCAUGGUUUUAAUAGUUGGACGGUAUAUUAUAUAAAUUAUUAAAAAAUAUUUAUUUUUAUUAUAUAUGUAGUAAUAAUAAAUUAGAUGAUAAUAACAAAAGAAUAGGAAUUAGUUUGAAUAAAUAGUACCAGUUCCUAUUAUGAUAUGUAUAGAGAAGAAGUUGGAAGUAUAAAAUGAAGUCAAAUAUUCUUAAUAAAAAAAAACACAGAAAUAAAUUAUUCAAAAUAUAUAUUAUUCUAGGUUUUAAUGUAAUUAAAAAGGAAGUAUUUGCAGGAAAGCUAAAGAAUUAAAUUUUUUAAUUUUUAAAAUUAUAAUUAAAAUUGUAAGAAAAUAAUCAAUUGUUUUAAAAAAUAAAACAUCAACUAUUUAUAUAAUAGCUAAAUCUAUUAAGAUAAAUCGAAAAUAACUAGUAAAAUCAAUGACUUGUAUUGACGAGUGUGUGUAUAUAUACAUAUAGGAACUGCUGAUUCGAUUUGAAUAUGUUAUUUGAUUAGUCUAAUUCAUGAUUUGCAUUGACUCAAAAUUACCACUAGAAAUUCCUAGUUUCGUGGUGCUUUAUCGGCCUGCAAAUGAAUAUAAAGCAUAUCCUUUUAUCCUAUAUAAAGAAUAUAAUUAACCUUUUUAUCUUUUAUAAUUAUAAUUAUUGCAUUGCUAAUAAUUUGCAUGAAAGAAUAUUCUUUCUCUGAAAAGGGCUUGAGAAAACCCUAAGCAUAUUAUAUAAUCUCUUAUAGGAAUCUCUUUAUUAAAUCAUCAAAAUAUCAAAGUCUGUUUCCAAAGACUAUGAGUACAGUUUAUAUAUAGAAACAACCAAAUAUAAAAAUUAUUUUUUUUUAAAUAGAAAAACCAGAGAGCUUGAUAAUAUUUAAUAAAAAAAAUAAAAUAGAAAAAUUAUUCCUUUUUAAGUAGAAAAAAAUUAUAAAGAUUUUAAUAAUACUAAAUAAGAAAAAUUAAAAUUUCUAAACUAAAUUAAAAAAAAUAAAAAAACUGAGAAAAUAUUUAUUAUCCCAAUAGUUCUUAUAUUAAAAUCUCAUUUAUCAUAUGUUAUAUCUAUCAAAAUAAUAAUAAUAAUAAUUUGUGAUGUGAACUAAAGCUAUAUGCAAAAACUAUAAAAACCCGGUAGUAAAUGUUCUAUUUGUUUUUGUGUUUCAAAAAUAUUUUUAAAAAAAUUGAGAUUUUUUUAUUUUUUUUAUUUACUUUAAAUUAAUAUUUUUACAUAUUUUUAGAUUAAUUUAAUGUGUUGAUUUUAAAAAUAUUUAAAAAUAAUUUGAUGGUCUUUAAAUAAAUGUUUUUUUUAGAAAAUCAUGAACCAUCACUGGGUAUCGAAAAAAGAAUUAUGGUUGAUUUAGCCUCAUCUUCUCUGCUUGUAAAAUUGGGGCAGAUUAUGGACUUAACCGAGCAAUUACCGCUCAAAAUUCCUAGUAAUUUACGAAGGAAUUUUCCUUGUUCUUUCUCUGUAUAUUAUUAGAAAAACUGUCAUUGACUGAUUUAAUUGCAAAGUCUUCGCAAGAAAGCUAAAAAAGUUAGAGUUUUUUUUUUUUUUUUUUUUUUUAAAAGGAGCAAAAGGAAGCAACCCCCAUCUUUCUUGUUCCCUUUCCCUUCUUUACAUGGCGUCCUCGAUGAAAAUAGCAAACACCCCAUUUGAAUAUAUAAUUAAAGAAAGAAAGAAAGAGAGGAAAAUUCCUUCCUCAAUACUUACCACUACACGCUUGAGAAAUUCCUUGCUUUUUUUUUUCCCUCGUUACCUUUUACCUUUUAUAAUUAUGAUUAUUGCAUUGUUAAUAAUUUCCUUGCAUUUCUUUAAUAUAUAAUUAAAGAAAGAAAGAUGUUGAACACUUUUUUAGUGAAUUCAAAAUAACAAAAUAAGGUUGUUGAGGCUUUUCUUGGAAUCUCGCUCAGGGAUUAAUUAACAAGAAUAAAAAAAUCCUCUGUAAAUUAUACAAAAUUUAUUAUUAAUCAUUGAUAUUUAUUAUUGAUCAUCAAUAUUGAAUAAUGGCUUAUUUUUCUAGCAUAAAUAAAAUUGAUAAAAGACAUGAUUACACAAUCAGUGAUGAGAUCGGUUAUAAAAAUGUAUAAAUUGAGGUUUUUCAAUUACCUUUAAACGUAUCAUGGUUUUAAUAGGUGGACAGUACAUCCUAUUAUGUAAAUUAUAAAAAAAUAUAUUUAUUUUUCUUAUUAUAUAGCAAUAACAAAUUAAAUAAUAGCAACAAGUAGAUAGGAAUUAGUUUGAAUAAAUGGUACCAGUUCCUAUUGUAAUAUAUCUGGAGAAGAAGUUUGAAGAAUAGAAUGUAGUCAAAUAUCCUUACAUAAUGCUAGGUUUUAAUAUAUAAUUAAAAAGUUUUCCAUGAACCAAAUAAUAAAAAUAUUGUACAACUUUUUGGAAUGAAUUAUUAACAUAGAGGCUUAUUUGAUUUGAAUAUAUUAUUUGAUUAGUCCAUUUAUAGGUUGACUCUAUUAUUCCUGCCUUGCAUUGCCAGGAAAUUUCACUAGAAAUUUCUAGUAAUUUAAACAGGAAAUUUCCUGGUGAUAAACCUGCAAUAUGAUUUUCAACUUUCGUAGGCGAGCACUAAAAGUCCCAAACUUCAAGAAUUUAUCUUCUUGUCCUUUUGUAUUUUCUCAUUUUCUUGGUAUGCGCGCAGCUGCCUCGAGAAAAAAACGUUUCAGAUGCGGAAAAUAAAGAUAAAAGUGGAAAAUAAAAGCGGGAAAAAAAAUCCCAAAUAUCGACAAACAUGACAAGAGAAGCUUGAUAUCUCUUCGUCCGCUGGUAUCUUGUGAAUGUGGAUAUUAUUUCAGAAUAUUUCACUCCAAUAUCAGCAACCACCACGAAAGUUACCAUUCUAAAUUCCAGCUCAGUAAUUUAUUCUUUGACAAUUAUUGCUUCUAAAAAAAAUAAUUUUUUUUUUAAUUAUACGCCAUCAGCAACUACCUUAAAAUUACCACUCUAAAUUCCAGCUCAAUAUCAAUCAACAUGUAGCUAAAGAAUUUUUUUUUUAAUCUCUUGUAGAAAUCUCUUUACUAAAUCAUCAAAAUAUCAUAGUAUAUUUCCAAAUACUAUUACUACAGUUUAUAUAUAUAUAUAUAUAUAUAUAGAAACAACUAAGUAGAGAAAUUAUCUUUUAUUUUCUUGUUCUUUAGCUUCUGAUUCUUUGGCUUUAGGUACAACCUAAGUAGGUAUAAAGCUUCUGUUUGUUUUUUCUUGUUCCUUUAUAUAUAUAUAUAUACAUUCUCAAUUUCAUAAAAAAAAUUAAUUAGUCCUUGAAAUCUUAAAAAAUAGUAUUUAAUCCUUAUGUUAUUAUAUUCAUUUCUAAUUUAAUUUUUUUUCGUCCAUUCAUCUUUUUAUUUAUUUAAUAGCUUAAGUAAUUUUUAGAUAAAAGCUAAAUAGUUUUACUAUUAAAGGCAUUUUUUUGAAAUAAAAUAAUAUUAAAUUAAGCAUGCUCAACAUUGUUCAAAUUAUUAAUUAAUUAUAAUUAACUUGAGGUUUAGAAGAAACAAAAGGGAAGGACAAAAUUAUCUUCCCUACAACCAUAGACCUAACCCCUUUCUAGACCAGUCCGCUGGUAAAUAAAAUGAUAAUUGUCUUCAAAAUUAAUAGCUUUUUUUCUUUCCAGCCUGCCAAGCAGUUUGGUCUCCCUCAUUGGACCACCUUAGCACGAGAAUCACACUAAAGGAUUUAAAAGUAGUUUGAAGUAUCAUUAAACCUGAUAAAAAUAAAUAACUGAUAAUAAUAUAAUUGAGAUUUAAAAAAGAAUUCAUAAAAAAAUCAUUUUAAAAAAACAAAAAAUUAAACAACCGAUAAUAAUGUAGUUAAAAUGAUAAAAAAAAAGUGUUCAAAAAGCAAUUUGAAACCAAUUAAUCUUAAAAAAAAAACAAAAACAAAAAGAAAUAUACGAUGAAAACCAAUUCAUGAAAAAGUAAUUGGAUAGUAAUUUAGACUAAAAGGAUGAAAUAAUAAAAACAAAAAAAGAGUUUGAGGGUAUUCAUUUUAUUGUUCACAGGAACGCAAAAAUGCAUUCCAAGUAUGAAGUGUUUUAUUGUUAUAAAGUUUUCCAAACUUACAAUAUAUAGAGAAAGAGAAAUAAAAAGAAAAAAGAGAGCAAAAGGAAACCGCCCCCAUCUUUCUUGUUCCCUUUCCCACGGCCUACUCAAUGAAAAAGCAAACACCCCAUUAGAUUUUCAUUCACUAUGAGAGUGAGAAUGAGAGAGAGGUAAUUUUGACUAUACAUAGAACUCGACUGGACAGAAGACUUAAAGAUAAAAUAGCUUUGAUUUACAACCAUGGUACAACUAUGAGAGCUUUAUGCUACUUUCUAUCUUUAGGUGGCAGCAGUUAUCAUUUCGGCUAUACAUAGAACUCGACUGGACAGAAGACUUUAAGAUAAAAUAGCUUUGAUUUACAACCAUGGCUUCAAGGGCCUGGAAUAGGACCAGGUAAAAUUCAUGUAUCUAUUAGUUGGCAGCAGUUAUCAUUCGGCCCUUGCCGCCCACGAAAUCCCUUUAUACUGCUGUUAAUUUUUUAAUGACGCGUAUCAGGUGUUUGAUAAAAUUCCUCAGCUGCGAAAAAAAAAAAAAACCAUGUUUAUAAUGCCUUUCCCACUUUCCACUCAGUGUGAAAGCAGGAACUACCAUGAGAGCUCUAUGCCACUUUCUAUCUUUAGAUGUAACGGCUUUGGCAAAAAAGAAUCAAAUAAAAGUUAGUUUUCGCAUUGCUUUAAAAUAUUAUUUUAAUAUAUUUUUUUUAAAAAAACUUAAAAAAUAAACCCGACAUGUCUCCUACGUUUUCAAAAAGAACGGUUCAAGGCAGAAUAAUAAUAAAGAGGCCCUCUGGUAGUCCAAUGAUAAAAACUUCAUAUUAAAAGGUUCGAGUUCUUGAUUGUUUAUACGAUGACAACUGAAUGUUUAGAUACUUGUUAACUUUAAGGUUUAUAGAAUUAAUCGUAGUGCGUGCAAGCUGAUCUAGAUAACCAUAUUAAUCUAAAAACAGUAACCUGUUCAACUUCAUUAAUGCUAAUGCGUGGACCCAGUUGUUGUGGAAACUUUGUAAAGGAUCUCGAGGAAAAAAAAAUGAUUGCAUUGCUAAUAAUUUGCAAGAGAGAAUUCUUUCACUGAAUAGAAAAAAUAACAACAAGUAAAUUUAAAAAUUAGUAUUUUUUAAAUAAAAAAACUAGAAAUUCCUGAUAAUAUUGAAUAAAAAAUAAAAUUAAAAAAUUAUUCUUUUCAAGUAAAAAAAAUUAUAAAAGUUUAAUAAAACUGAAUAGAAAUAAAUACAAUUUCCAAACUAAAUAAUGAGGUGUAUAUUUUGAAACUACAAGAUUUUCUUUUUUAAUUAUAUCCUUUAAAGUUAUUUAUUUUUUUUAAAAAAAACUCGUUAGUUUGCAAGUCCACUGCAUCAAAUUUGCAAAAUCAUAUGGCCCAUUGAUAGAAGGUGUGUUGAAGCAAAAUCUGUUUUAUUGAUCAUCAAUAUUGAAUAAUAGCUUAUUUUCUAGUAUAAAUUAUGUUUGAAAUAAAAUUGAUAAAAGACAUGAUAUAUAAUUAAUGAUGGGAUGGUAUAUAAAAAUGAUUAAAUGAGAUUUUUUAAUUACCUUUAAACAUAUCAUGAUUUUAAUAAGUGUACGAUACAUCAUGUAAAUUAUAAAAAAAAAAUAUUUAUUUUACUGAUAUAUAUAUAUAUAUAUAUAUAUAUAUAUAUAUAUAUAUAUAUAAUAACAACAAAUUAAAUGAUAGUAACAAGAAAAUAGGAAUUAGUUUGAAUAAAUGGUAGCAGUUUCUGAUAUCUCUAGGAAGACGUUUGAAGAAUAGAAUAUUCUUAAAAAAAAAAAAAAGAGAGCACAGGAAGAAAUAAAAUAUGUUUGUAAUAAAUAUAAAAGAUGGAUGCUAGGUUUUACAUAAUUACAUAAUGCUAGGUUUUAAUAUAUCAUUACAUAAUGCUAGGUUUUAAUAUAUAAUUUCUACUAUUGCUGCAUUGACUGGAAAUUUCAGUAUUCCAUAUCCUAUAUAUUUAACUCUUUGUUGUAUUUAAUAGCUAACUCUGCAGCUAACUUCUCUGUCCCAUUGCAGCCAUUUCAUAUCUAACUCUUUGUUAUAUUUAACUUGCUCUUCUUUGCUUCUUUGCUUCUUGCUCAUAACGAUAACAAGAAAGCCUUACGUUCAGAUAGAUAAUCAUUGACCAGUUCAUCCUAUACCAUUCAAUUUAAUUUAGAAAUGCUGAAAGAAAAACGCAAGCAAUCCAAAGAUGAAGACAACCAUUCAUCCUCGCGAAAGAGAAGAAAAGCUGACCUCAGUAAGCCUGUCAGUUUUGUCUCCACAGGUAAGGCAGAUGCGUGAGUCUAUACAUGUAGGAACUGCUGAUUCGAUUAGAAUAUGUUAUUUGAUUAGUCUGAUCAUAGGAUAGGUUGAGUCUACUAUUAUUUCUGCCUUGCUUUGACUCGAAAUUACUGGUGUUUUCUCCUGCAAAUGAAUAGAAAUCACAUCCUUUCUCUUUCUCCUAUACAAAGAAUACAAUUAACCUCAUUUCAAUAUCAUAGCUUUGGAAUUUCAUAGCUGACUCUUUGUUAUAUUGUUCCAUUGGUAAUUGAUUGUGCCUUAAUUUCUGCAGCUACCAUGACAGAGCCAGAGUCUUCUCGAUCUAGACCAGAAGGGGCCUAUGAUGUCUUCUUGAGUUUUAGAGGAGAAGACACUCGCAAGACAUUUACAGAUCAUCUAUAUACUGCCUUGUCCAAGCAGGAAUCCACACUUUUCGAGAUGAUGAUGAACUUCCAGAGGAGAAGAAAUCUCCGAUCAUCUCCUCAGGGCAAUUCAAGAAUCAAAGAUGUCCAUAGUUGUCUUCUCAAAAGGAUAUGCUUCUUCUAGAUGGUGUCUCAAUGAACUUGUAGAGAUUCUUGAGUGCAAAAAGAGGAAAACCGGUCAGAUUGUUCUUCCUAUAUUCUAUGACAUUGAUCCUUCAGAUGUGAGAAAACAGAAUGGCAAUUUUGCAGAAGCAUUUGUUAAACAUGAAGAGCGUUUUGAAGAGAAGUUGGUGAAGGAGUGGAGAAAAGCUCUUGAGGAGGCUGGAAAUCUAUCUGGAUGGAAUCUCAAUGAUAGGGCAAAUGGGUAUGCCAUUUUUCCAAAUUUAUAGAGUCAAUAUACUUUACAUUUUUCAAUUUGAAACAAUAAAAUACUUAAUUGACUGGCUAUCGAUGGCUUGCUUUUUUCUAUGAUCAGGCAUGAAGCAAAAUUUAUCCAAUGGAUUAUCAAGCAUGUGUUGAACAUAUUGGAUCCCAAGCACUUGAAUGUUCCUGAGCUCCUAGUAGGUAUUGAUGAUCUUGCUCACGAUAUUUUUUACUUUCUAAGUACUGCAACAGAUGAUGUACGCAUUGUGGGCAUACAUGGGAUGCCAGGAAAAGGAAAGACGACUAUAGCAAAAGUUGUAUUUAAUCGACUCUGCUAUGGAUUCGAGGGAAGCUGUUUUCUUUCGAAUAUCAAUGCAAGAUCAAAACAAUUCAAUGGUCUGGCUCUUUUACAAAAGCAACUUCUUGAUGAUAUUUUAAAACAAGAUGUUGCUAACAUCAAUUGUGUCGAUAGAGGAAAGGUUCUGAUCAAAGAGCGACUUUGUCGCAAAAGAGUUCUUGUUGUUGCUGAUGAUGUGGCUCAUCUGGACCAGCUAAAUGCUUUGAUGGGAGAUCGAAGUUGGUUUGGUCCUGGAAGUAGAGUAAUUAUCACAACAAGAGAUUCAAGUUUACUUCGUGAAGCAAAUAAAAGAUAUCAGAUCAAAGAACUGGAACCAGAUGAGGCCCUUCAGCUUUUCAGCUGGCAUGCCUUCAAGGACACCAAGCCAACAGAAGAUUAUAUUGAGCUUUCGAAGAAAGCCGUUGGUUACUGUGGAGGACUUCCUUUAGCUCUUGAGGUUAUAGGAGCUCUUCUGUACAGGAAAAACAGAGGUAGAUGGGAAAGUGAAAUUGACAAAUUGAAAAGAAUUCCAAACCACGAUAUUCAAGGAAAGCUUAGAAUAAGUUAUGACUCACUGGACGGUGAAGAACCAAAAAAUGCAUUCCUUGACAUCGCUUGCUUCUUUAUUGAUAGAAAGAAAGAGUACGUCGCAAAAGUGCUAGGAGCCCGUUGCGGUUACAAUCCAGAAGUUGAUUUGCAAACUCUCCAUGAAAGGUCUCUGAUUAAAGUAUUGGGAGAGACGGUAACCAUGCAUGAUCUAUUACGAGACACGGGGAGGGAGGUCGUUCGUGAAUCGUCUCCAAAAGAACCUGGAAACAGGACCAGAAUUUGGAAUCAAGAGGAUGCAUGGAAUGUACUUGAGAAGCACAAGGUACGCAAGAGCUUAAUGUUGUAUUUUCUAGUCAAACUUAUUACAAAUAAUGGUAUGAAAGUUGUAUUGAUUUUAUUUUUUUAGGGUACGGAAGUUGUAGAGGGUCUUAAACUGGAUGUCAGAGCAUCAGAAGCUAAAUCACUGAGCACAAGAUCAUUUGCAAAAAUGAAAUGCUUAAAUUUACUCCAAAUCAACGGAGCACAUCUCACCGGAUCCUUCAAACUGCUUUCUAAAGAGUUGAUGUGGAUUUGUUGGCAUGAAUGUCCUUUGAAAUAUUUUCCAUCUGAUUUUACCUUGGACAAUCUAGUUGUUCUUGAUAUGCAGUACAGUAACCUCAAAGAACUAUGGAAUGGAAAAAAGGUACGAAACAUGUUACAAUCCCCAAAAUUUUUCUAAUAUGUAGUUUAUAUUUACAUGUUAUGACUUUCUAUGAUUAAUUUUCAUUAUUUUUCUCUCUAUUAUAAUAGAUUCUCGACAAGCUUAAAAUCCUUAAUCUCAGUCAUUCUCAGCAUCUUAUUAAAACACCAAACUUGCACAGUUCAAGUCUAGAGAAACUAAUUCUGAAAGGUUGCUCGAGUUUAAUUAAGGUGCAUCAAUCAAUUGAAAAUUUGACGAGCCUCGUUUUCUUGAAUCUGGAGGGAUGUUGGAGGCUUAAGAAUCUCCCUGAAAGCAUUGGCAAUGUAAAGUCUCUUGAAACUCUGAAUAUUUCUGGAUGUUCACAACUUGAGAAAUUGCCAGAACACAUGGGUGAUAUGGAAUCCUUAACUAAGCUGCUAGCCGAUGGGAUUGAAAAUGAGCAAUUUCUCUCUUCAAUUGGACAAUUAAAGCAUGUCAGAAGGUUAUCAUUGCGUGGAUACAGUUCGACUCCACCAAGUUGUUCUUUGAUUUCAGCAGGUGUUUCGAAUUUGAAACGUUGGCUGCCAACACCUUUCAUUGAAUGGAUAUCAGUGAAACGUCUUGAGCUUUCUAAUAGUGGUUUGUCUGAUCACGCAACUAACUGUGUUGAUUUCAGUGGUUUGUCUGCUCUAGAGUAUUUGAAUCUAGAUGGAAACAAAUUCUCUAGCCUUCCUUCUGGGCUCGGCUUCCUUCCCAAGCUAAGUUUGUUGUAUGUCCGGGCAUGCAAAUAUCUUGUAUCAAUCCCAGAUCUUCCCUCAAGUUUAGACUAUUUGUUUGCAUCUGAUUGCAAAUCAUUGAAAAGAUUAAGAAUACCAAGCGAGCCAAAAAAAGUAUCAGUUAUAAAGCUAGAUGGAAGUCAUUCGUUAGAAGAGUUUCAGGGCAUUGAAGAUCUAAGUAAUUGGUUCUGGUAUAUUUGUGUUGAUGACCGCAGUCAUUCAUCAAGUAAAUUACUGAAGAGCGUUGUUGAGGUACUAUUUCUUUCCGUCUCUUUUUCGCACAAAAAGAAACACACACAAUUGGCACAUACAUUGAAUAAUGUCUAAAUUCUCAGCAAUCCUUAGAAAUCAAUAUGUAUAUGGGCAAUUAUUAUUAUUAUUAUUAUUAUUAUAUUUAAAAAAACAAAUAUCAUCUUUAAUAAUAUUUUUUAUUUUUCUUAUUUAAUCUAAAAAAUUAAAUAUUAUGUUUAAUAAUAUUUUUUUUAUUAAAUAUUUAAAGUCUGAUUGGUUUUAUUUUUUAUUUCUUGAUUUUAUGAUAAUAUAUUUAUACAGACAAUGUGCAACGGUCGUCACGGGUAUUUUAUUCGUAUUCAGUACAUUCCUAGUGAGAUGCCAAAAUGGAUGAGCUACAGGGGAGAAGGAUGCUCAUUGUCAUUCCAUAUACCUCCAGUCUUCCAAGGCUUAGUUCUUUGGUUUGAUAAGGAUGAUAAGGACACUUCCGUUAAAAUUAUUAUAAGAAAUAAUAGCAAUGGUAUUUGCUUGUUUAAAUGUACGCAAUGGGCUUAUCAUCCAAAAAAUGGAUGUAUAAGAUACAUAAGUAGAAGUAAAAUGGCAAUGGAAGAUUACUGUGCAGAUGACGAAUUGGAACUAUCCAUUUAUUCACGGCAACGGGGGUAUUCACUGCGCAACGAUGAUUCAUACCAACCCGCAGACAUUAAAGAAUGUGCGGUCCAUGUGAUCGCAGGGAAGUCAGAUUCAUUUGAAGAGUUGGCAGUGAGAACAGAUACUGUGAUGCCUUCACCACCGCUGUAUCAUCUGCUUCCUCAUCCCCCAUUGUGGUUCGAUUACAGCGUCUACACCUAAGCAAUGGACUGACUUUUUAUUUGCGAAGCUGCAAAACCAUAGCCUCAGUUCAACUUUGGUAAGAACAUAUUUCAUUUAGUUAUUUUUAUUCUAUUAUUUAAUUUAUGAAUUAAAUAUUAUCUUUAAUUAUUUUAUUUUUUUAUUUAAUCUAAAAAAUUAAAUAUCAUCUUUAAUAAAAACAAUUAUUAAAUAUUUAAGGCUUUUUGGUAAGAAUACAUAUUUCCUUUAGUUAUUUCUAUUUUAUUCUAUUUAAUUUAAGAGAUUAAAUAUCAUCUUUAAUUAUUUUAUUUUUCUUAUUUAAUCUAAAAAUUAAAUAUUAUCUUUAACAAUAUUUUUUAUUAAAUAUUUAGAGUUUGCUUGGUUUUAUUUCUUUUCUUGAUUUUAUGAUAAUAUUUUUCUUAUUUAAUAUAAAAAAUAAAUAUUAUCUUUAAUAAUUAGAUCUAUCGAAUAUCACUUAAAAAUAAAUUAUAACUUUAAUAAUUAUUUUUUGAAAAACAAAAAGCCAACAAUCACUAACAUAUUUUAUUAAAAUCACUUUAGUUUAUUUAGAAAAUAUUGAAAACUGAUUUUUGUUUUUUACAUUAAAAUAAAAAAUUGAAUAAUGUUUUUAUAUUUUAUUUCAAACUCGAUAUUUUAAAACAAAAAUGAAAAAGAUGUGAUAUUGACCUUUUUAAUUUAACUUUCUUUUCAAAUUUGAUGGUUUUUUAGGAGAGGGGUAUCUUUGACGUUGAUUGACGUGAGAGUACAAGAUCAUUUUACAUAGAGAUGCUUGAAAUUGCUCCAAAUCAGUACGAUACUUUCAUCUGACAUGUUGAUAUGUAUUUAUUGGCUUGAAGAUUAUUUUCCAAGCUUGGAAGUUUUAUUGAAUUCUCUUUGAAAUCUUUUCCAUCCGCUGGACAACCUAGCUGUUAAUUAUUAUGCAUGAUGUAAUUUAUAUUUUCAAGUUACAAAUUUUGAUGAAUAUUGUUUCAUUUUUUUCCUCACUUCAAAAGAUGAAAAUCCUUGAUGUUAGUUAGAAAUAAAUUGGUUUUCUAGUAAGAGAUUAUUUAUUGGAAUAUAGUAUUUGAGUUGGUUAUAUAUAAUUUAAAAUAAUUAAUGAAAAUUACCGAUAUAUAGGAAAGUUUUGAGAGCAUCCUUAAUUAGUCUAGUAAGUAAAGUGUUGUUAGUUUUGACUAUAAGAUCUUGCUAUGUAUUAUUGCAUGGUUUUUACUAUUUUUAGGCAUUUUUCUUUUGGUAUAUACAACUUUUGUUUUUCUUGCCGUUUGUUAUUAGCUUUAUGGCACCAACACCAAUUAAUAAUAAAUCUUGAACUAUUAUUAAAUAAAGAAAAAAUAUAAACAUUGUUAAAACACCAAACUUGAAUUGCUCAAACCUAAAGAAACCCUAUGACAAUAAUCUAAUUUAGAAAAUAAUUAAUUUAUCCUUGUAGUCUAAGAAAAUAGUAUUUAAUUCUUAUGUUUUCAUAUACAUCUAUGAUUUAAUAUGUUGAUUGAAAUUGGCAAGUGAGUUUACUCGCAUAUUGUUAUAUUGGUUUUGAGUUCAAAUAAAUGUUUAAAAAGGAAGUUUUUUCAUGAAUGUAACCCUUCAUGUAUUCAAUAUGAAUGAUGGGAGAUUUUGAUGUCUUGUGAAUGCAUUUAUUUAUAUAUCGAUGAUUUUGUUAAGAAUUGGUUGGUAAAAAACUUAAUUUCGAUAUAUAAAAACCGAAGAGAGAACAAUAAAUAGAGAGACUAGUAAAGAUUUUAUGUGCUUUUUUUUUUUUUAAUUGGAUUACCUUUGUCUUUUGUUUCAAGUAAAAUUCUAGUAUAUAUCACUAAAUUAAGAAUUAAAGGUCUAAUUAUAUGAACACAAUUUUAAAGACUACAUCAACUACAUUUCAUAUGCUCAACUCUAAGCAAAUUGAAAUUUCAAGGCCAUUUGUAUCUUGAAAACACAAUCUCAAUAAUUUUAAUAUUGAAUUAUUAUUUGUUAGGUAACUAAGAUUUGUUGACUUGAAAAAUAGCACUAAGGAACACAAAUUCGUACUGUUUAUCUUCUUGGCAUUGUUCAAAGGAAUGCAAAAAGACACUCCAAUUGUGAAAAUGUAUUAUUGUCAUAAAGUAAAACUUCCAAAGAGUGAAAUAAAGAGCAAGAGCAAAAAAAUAAUUUGUGUGUGUAUAAGCUAAUUGAAAUGAAGAUUAGAAUAAAAAGGAUAAAAAAGUGAGAGACUCGUUAAGAUUUUAUGUUAAUGCUCAACAUGUUCUUUCUUAUUUAUUUUUAAUUGGAUUACCUUUAUCUUAACGAGUGAAAUAAAGAAACACUCCCCCAUCUUUUUUAUUCCCUUUCCCUUCUUUACAUGGCUUACUCAAUGAAAAAGCAAUUAAACACCCCAUUUGAUUUUCAAUCAAUAUGAGAGUGAGAAAGAGAGAGGCCAAGGUGGUCUUUGAAUAUUUUCUUCUUUUUUGUCUCGCUCACUGGGGCAAACCAUUUUUUUCAAAAUUUUGAAUAGCAUGCCAUCAAAAAGAAUUUUGUUCAAUCCCAAUCCCACAUACACUUUGUUAUUUUCCAAUCCCUCCCUAGUUCUGCAACCAUUUCUCUACUUUCUAUGCUCUUGGCUUGCUAAAAACUAAAGAAAACACAUUGCUCUAGUUGCCUGCCUUCACUCUUCAGAUUGCUCAACAAAACCCUUGAGACCUUCUCCAUAGUUAACAUACCACAUAAUGGCUACUCUAAAAAAUUUAGCCAUAAACAAUGAACACCUUAGGCAAUCAACGUCCCUUCCUUCAUAAUAUGCAUCGCCCAUAAAUCUUUCUUUUGGGAUGUCGUCGGGAGUUUAAUCUCCGAGUGUAAAAAUUAUGUAUAAAUUUCCAUUCUUUCCUUCCAUCCAUUACUUGUCCUCUAUGAAGAUUUUAUGUAUGAAACCUCGGAAUCUUUUCAAGUAUAACUUGGGAUCAACAGCUGAGAUAGACGUGGGAUCCACUUGUAUGCAUGCUCUAGCUUUUUGCUGAUAUCAUAAUCCUGGAGGAUGUCAAUGAUACCAAAGUGAAGAACUACAUUGAAGAUCUCUUUACCAUUGUGUGAAGGUGUUGAAUUGUUACUUCCACCCCCCAUCCACUGAUCCAUUUCAGUAGUCCUCAUUACAUGCUCGGCUCUUGCAGGCACAUUUGCCCCCAGUCAGAUGAAUGGCCCCCUGGAACAGAUUUCAUAUGAGUACUACAAGCAUGCAACGCCAGUUAAAAUCUUGACAUUGCAUCACACAAUCACCAAAAUUCAAAGUAACAAAACGAAGAACAAAAUGUGAUAACAAUGACAAUGACACUUUUCAUCAUUAAUUUUCCUUUUCACAUUGAUUUUCAAUGUUCCGGGCAGAUAAAAUAGCAUUGAUUUACAACCAUGGUUUUAAGGCAUCAUUAUUGGCAAAAACAUUGUAGGACAAAGCAGACUUAAAGAUCAAUGCUUCAGUUGUCAAUCACAUUAAUAAUUUAUAUUUGAUCGUCUAAAAGGGCCUAGAAUAGGACCAGGUAAAAGUUUGUUUUUAUCUAAGAAAGCAAGAAGGUCUCCACAAACUACCCCCAAUUUCGCCACUACAGCCUAAGUCACUUUGAGUCAUUCCAACAAAUAGGAAUUGAAUUCAAAGGAAUAAAUCAUUAAUUAAAUGCAGGGCUCCAAUGUGGGAAAGGGAAAAUGAUUCACUAUUAAAAAGAAAAGCUCAAACACAAAUUAUAGCUUCACUUUUUGUGAAUUAUAUCUCAAAUUUCAUUGGCUGGAUGAUUUAUUGAUAUUUUAAGAAAGCAGUCUUCAUUGCUUUUCAAAACCAUACUAUGGGUCCAUAGACAACUAAAGUUAAACAUGUGGCACAUACCUAGUAGAAAAGAAGAUGCCACAACAUUGCACUUCAUUGCUUUUCAAAACCAAACUAAAGUGCAAUGUUGUGGAAUCUACCUAAUGAGUUCAUUAAACCAUGACCGUUCCAGGCAAAAUACAAAGUUUAGAUCGAGGUCCUUAAGUGUGGUUGUUUCAUCAAUUUCACCAUCAAGCUUGUAAGUCGUGCGUCCAUGAAAAGAGCCUUUCAAGUCAAAGCGUUUAUGGAUACGGUACUCGGAACAAAACAGGUUUCUCAUUACAACAAAAUGAGUCUAGAAUUACAUUGCAUUGUGAACAGUAAUUAGAAUAUGAUUAUACAUUAUGUAGAAAGAACAUCUCAAUGAAAACUGUACCGUCGUGAUUAUACCUUUCGACCUCCCACUGGUUUAACACAAUGUACACCAAAGAAAUUUGUUACCAAGGAGUUCUUGUACUGGCAAACAUGUUGGUAGUAACUUGGAAGCAUCUUAAUAAGAACCUGAAUAUGGUUCACAAUAGGUUGUGAAAUCUAUCCACAUGAUAAAAAUUAAAAAUAAGUGUCUAAGACUUAAAUUGGUAUAUAGAACCAAAUUACUUGCCCUACGUAUUGCUACUUGAGUAAUAAUCACUUUCAUACAUUUGCUGCUUUGUAACAUGUUGAAUUGCGAAUUUAGGGUAGCUAAAUUACUAACCUUGACUUCAGAUUUUUUCACAGUUUUGAUUAUGAAACGAUCAUCUUGAGUUAGAUAAAAGAAGCUUCCACUCUUCCCAGGGGAAGAAAAUUCUCUAAGUGCAUCACUUCCACAAAUCGUUGCAUGUAAUUCACUGGAUCUAUUGAAAACAAUUCCCUCAGAUAUCUAAACACCAAACAAACCAACCACCACCAUAACAUAGGAAAUCAGAGACAAAUUCAAUAUCUCCUUUCUUGGACAUUCAAUAGAAGAUUAAAAAUGAAGUAAUAAAGCAUUAUAUGUUCCAAAAAUCCGUAAAAAAAUAAUAAAAAUUCCUAAAAAUAAUACCUGAAUACCAUGGGACAAUAAUCCUUCCAUCUGAAAUCCAUAGAUUGAUGUGGAAGCCUAGACUUUGAUACUUCCGGUGGAAACCUUGUCCAGAACUUUUCUUUAGGAUAAAACAUAGAAGCCUCCACAUUAUCAACAAUAUCACAAGUAAUAUCACUAGCCUCCCCAUCCAACUCCUAAAUACAAAUCCGAGGAAAAUUCCCAUCCACUGAUGACCUCUUCCUCCCUCCCCCAGCCCCAACUACUGGAUCCAAUGCCACCCCUUUAAAAUCCUCUCCACCACCACCAAGAACUCUCCCAUUCACAUUCCCACUACCAAAUGUAAAAAUUCCUUUCCCUUUAGGCACCCCAUUUUCCAAGUACCCUUCAUACCUCUUCCCAUUAACCCAAACCAAUACCCGUUUCCCAGAUAUCACCCCAUGUUUCCACUCACCAACAUACUCAUUCCCAUUACACCACCUAUACUUCCCUUCCCCAUCCUGCAAAUUAAACUUCCAAAAACCUUGAUAAACAUCCCCAUUGGCGUACCUUGUCUCACCAAAGCCAUGCUUUUUAUCACUAAUCCAAUUUCCAAUAUAAACUUCACCAUCUACACCAAUAAAAGUACCAUAACCAUCCAUUCUCCCUAACUUAAACUGACCUUCAUAAGUAGCUCCUGAUGGCCAAGAAAACUUCCCACCUCCAUUAGCCUUCCCUCUCCUCCACUCUCCUUCAUACAUACACCCAUCACACCACAAAUACUUCCCCUUCCCAUGUGGCACACCAUCCACCACUCCCCCAGCAUAAAUAUCCCCAUUGGGCAACACCUUCUCCACCAAGGAACAACCAGUGUCAAUACGAGAAGUGAUGGUGGUGGUCAUCGCGUCACGCGUGGGAGUCACGCGCCGGUAGUUGGGCUGGGAUCGGGUUCUUGUGGUCACUAUAUGGAACAAUGAGGGGACUAGCAAAGACACAUCUUUGCUGUUUUUGGCUUUGAUUUUGGUGUUUUCUGAUAGUGUGGCCAGAAGGGUCUCUUGAAUUUUGCUUUUUAUGCCGGUAAAUGCACCGGCGGAAACAUUUUCGGUGAUUGUGCUAUAUUCUUAAACGGUUUUCUUGCUCUUUUGUGAGUCAAAAAAUAAAAACAAAAAAUGUAGCUUUCUUGUUGCUUUGAAGAAUGGGCGAGAGAAAUGGCAGAAAAAACAGUGGAAGGGAAGAGAAAAAGCAGAAGACCAAAGACAGAGAGAGAGGGAAUGGGCCGUCUUUUGUUGUUGUUUUUGGUGUCUGUCUAGUCUAGGGAAGCUUGUCGGCAGGCUUUGUUCCAGAGAGGGAUCAUUUUUUGUGUUUUAAGAAAUAUAGGGAGUAAAAUGGGAUUAGGCUUUGGGUAUUUUUAGUAAAACCUACACUGUUAAGGUCGGGUAAUAAAACAAUAUUAUUUUACUAAAAAAAAAUCAAUAAAUUGAGAAUUGGUUAAAUAACCAGCCAUUUCCGAUUUUAUAACGGUGAUUUCAGGUGAGUGAGGUAUUGUUGAGGAAUUUAGGGUUUAGUUGGGGGUAUUUUAGGGAUAUUUGGGAGAAAGGGAAGAUAUAAUUAAGGUAGGAAGAACAUUUCUUGAUUUAUGUAAAUUGAUUAAUUUAAAGAAGGUUUGAUUGAUAAUGCAACCCACAAACAUUUAAACAUUUGUAGAGUGUAAUUGACUAAAAAAAAUGAAUAAAAGACAUUAUGAACAAAUCAUUCUUUAUUAUUUAAUUGAUUUGUCAAAGUUUCUAAUUUUGUUUUAAAACUUGUUUCAAUUGGCUUUUUUUUUUUUUGCUUUUUUUUAUAUUUUAGAUAUUUUUAUAAAAAAAAUAAAGUAAUUAUUAUUGUAUAUAUUUAAAUUAAACUAGAUAUGAUAAUUAACAAUCAAAUUAAAGUUUAUAUGAUUUUAGUGAUUGUAUAUUUUUUUUUAAAAAAUAGAUUAAAAAAUGAAAAAAAAACAUAUAAAAAUAAAAAUACAAAUCGUAUCAAUUUAAUAUGGGAUAUUAAUAGGUAUAUGUGAGUAGUUUAGUUUAAUAGAUGGAGUACACAAUGGUAGGUGUUCCAGGUUUUUUUUUUUUUUUUUUGUAUAUUCUCUCUUUUUUUCACUUUUUGUGAUACUAAAUCAAAUAUAUUAUUACUAGAUAUAAAAUAAUUUAUUCAUUGCUUAAUUAAAAUAUUAUAAAAAAAAUUAUCUUUUACCAAUUUAAGAUUUUUAUUAUUUAAAAUUUGAGAUGAUAAUGUAGAAUAAUUUUGCUUGGACCGACAACAUCUCCAGCAUAUACACAAUACUAUUUUAAUUUUUUUAGUAAGGCAGUGCAUCUUAGUUGUACAAGACAAUGCAUGGUUUAUCCAAGCAAAAUAAUUUGCUUAGACUUUUCUUAAAUUCUUCAAACCCUAAACAUGAUUUUCAUCUCAAAUUAUUCUUUAAUGAAGUUGAUUAGAAUUUGAUCAAUUUCACCAAGGAAGAGAAAAAAAAAACUAUUAUUAUGCUCCCAAUCUCUCCCUCAACUGUAAUUAUAAAACUUGAUUUGAUAAUCAAUUUAAAAUAAAAUUCAAUAUUAAAAAAAUUAAUCUAAAUUAAUCAGAAUUGAUUUUAUUUUUUAAAAAAUACAAAAAAUAGUCAAUAAAUUAAGAAUUAAGUUUUAUUCUUUAUAACUUGGGUUUUUGACCAAAUUAAGGUAUGUUAUUUUUUUUAUAUUUUUAAUUUAUCCUCUAAAGGUUUGAACAUUGCUCUGUUUUUUUUUUUUUUCCAUUUUAUUUCUCAAAGCUAUAGUGGUAUAUAAAUUUCUUUAGCUGGUGUUAAAUCUUCUAUCCAGACUUUAAACAAUGACAUGUGGGAAGAAAACAAGUGAAGUGUCAGUCACUAAUUACCAUAUAUACAGAAACUGUCACAAUUAAUAAGGUAUACAGAACCAUUAUAAAAGCUAAUUUUUAAUGGCAGUUUCCUCGGUGGAUGUCCAUACAAGAAAGGGCAUCAAUUAGAAUAGGUGUCUUAGUUAUAGGUAUAUGCCCUAACUAUUCUUCAAGUAUAAAUUUACACCAUUGUCAUUGUAAAUAUUUUAUUUAAAAAUGUUUAUGGAUGGCAAUAGAUAAUAACUUGGCACAAGAACUAUAUCACAACUUAAAAAUAAGUUUAUCCAAGUCAAUUUUAAAUAUUAUGAAUAACAAAGUUAUUAAAUCUAUUUCAAUUCAUGAUUUAGCCCAAAACCCAAUACAAUUUUAAUUUUAGGAAAAAAAAAAAAGUUUAAGAGAAGAAAUUUAUUGAUUAAAUAAGGAUAGUAAUUUCACCAAAUCCAAUUGAUACCAACUAGAAUGGAUAUUGAUUUUUUAGACCUGAUAAGAUUUAAGUCAAAAUAUAAAAAGUCAAGUGUUGGGUUGGGUAGGAUAUUGAUUUACUCAACGGAACCGAAACAAAUAAAUAACCUUAAAUUUUAAAAAAAUUACAUGUAUACCAAGCCAAUUAUAAAUUAAAUAAUUGUAAAUUAUAGCAUUCGAGCUUUAAGUCUAGAUUAUAAAUACUUGAUAGGUACUCGAAAUCUAAUCAAGUUAGUUUUUGGUAUAAAAAAUUUAUACAAAGUCAAACUUGACCAAUGAGUAUCCAUAGCCAUCCCUGUAAACAAAUGCAUGUGUUUCCAUGAGAAUGAGUUGUCGAAGAAGUUCAAAGGGCAAGGAGGGAGAGUGCUUUAAAAAAAAUAGAGUAGAGAAUAAAACAGGGGAGCAAUGCUUGAGAACAUGCAUUGCUGAACUUCUUGCUUGAUUUCGCCAUGUUAUGGAAGCAUAAAACCUUCACAAUACUGCUUCACACCUCCUUUUCUAUGCUAUCAUGCCAUGAACAUAUGAUGACAAGAGGCCUUGCAAGGACACAUCAAGGUGAUGUUUAAUAUAUAUAUAUAUAUAUUUACUUUUAGAAUGUUUUAAUGUUAAAAAUAAAUUUUAAAAAAUAAAAAAUUUCAUUUCAAUUUAUUUCUAAAUAAAAAAUAUUUUAAAAAAUAACAUUUACAAAAAAUUAUCUUAGUGCAUUAGAAGAAGCAAAAUCCAACUCUAAUAUGAUCUAUAAAGUGACCAACCAAACUUAGCACCUGGAAACUAAGCGCGCAUUUGACUAAAAAAAGAACUUUUAUUUCUUUAAGUUCUUAAGAGUUCUUUUUUUUCUUUCUAAUCAUUUUAUAAAACAUUUUAUAAAAUUCCUAAAACCAAGUUUUUGAGAUUUGAAAUUAACAUGAAAUCAUUUUAACAACAUAUAUUAUCAAAUACCUUUACGAUCAUAGCUACAACCACAACUAAAAGCCUAGGCCCUAAGCCUUUUUUUCUUCUUCAGGUUCGCAUUCAAACGAAUAAAUUCAUCGAAAAUUUCCGUCUGUCUCAACAUUCAAAUCCAAAAUGAUAACAUAAAAAUUAAACUCUCAUCCUAGAUGAGCUAAAUAUUUCGAUCCAGACUCAGACAAGAACUAGAUGUAUUUCUAGGGUACGCAGAACCAUCAUUACUUGUUGUUGUAUACUGUAAAUGUCAGUUGAUUCUUGCAGUACUUCUGGAAACAAUUUUUUUUUUCUUUUUUCCUUUGAAACAAAUUUAUUUUUCUCUUUGAAUAUAUUCAGGAAAGAGGAAAUAAAGAAUGGUGUAAAUCAAAAGAAAAGAAAGGUGCAGAUUAUGCUGCUAGUCAAAAUUUUGAUCAGUGGAUACUUGGCCAAAGAUAUCAGGACAUGAUUCCCAGUUGCCCCUUUCCUUGGCUUCCCAGUAACCACCAAUAUAGCUAUAAGUUUCACCGCCUUUCUCCUUCACAAACCACCGAGGCUUCCAACCUCUCUCUUCCAUCUUCCGUGCCUGUGAUUGUUGAAAAGAAUUCUUAUUAUCCUCUAAUUUACUACAUUUCAUAAACAGUAGUCAGUAGAAGUGUCGUGCAAGUGUGUGUACAAAUGCAUUGGUGUAAAUACAGCAAGAUCAUUCCUUGAUGCAUGCACGUACCUGUCGUUGCCUCUGCUCUAGUCGUAACUUCUCUUCAUUGGCCUUUGUAUACUCUCCAUUUUCCAAGCAUCUCUGAUCAGGUCUCAGCCUGGAGUCUGUUGAUGGCAGUUUCUCCUGCGUAUAAAUUUAAUGUCAGCAGCUACGAAUGGAUACCUUGUUCUCUACUGCAGAGGAGCAGUGAGACAUGGCAUUUCUUGUAAAGAAAGAUAUUUAUCAUAUUCAAAUCUUUCACCAACCUUAAGCUCCUGAUGCGGAACAAUAAAGAAUAAGAAUUAAAACAGGAAAAGAAAUAAGCUUUAGGGGAAAGAAAGAAGCUAGAGAAGAGGAAGAAAGGGGAUUGGAGAUAUGCAAAUUCUGCAAUUUUCAUUAAUCAUCAAAAGUACCUCUCAAAAUGACAAAAGAACAUAUAAAUAGUAAACCCUAAAAGUAAACCCUAAACAUCCUGCUAUUUGGGCUCGGCCCAUCAAAUCGAACUGUUUAAUAUAAAUAACAAUGAGUAGGCCCAGAUGGGCUAAAUAAAUAAAUAACAAUAAGCAGGCCCAAAUGGGCUAAAUAAAAUAACAAUGAAAUAGGCCCACAUGGGCUUAGUCUCCCAACCAAAGUGUGACAGGCUGGGCCAUCCUACGCCGUCUCCGUCCAUAUACUUGUGUAAUCUGUGGUGUGGGCCUGGUGUCUCCACCAGCUCCGGUGUGAGCUCAUUCAGAGUUAUAGCAAAGCGUGUUAGAUUGUAUCUGGUCAGAUGCUUUGAUGGUUUACUCCGCUUCCAGAGCAAAUGGGGCUCUGAUCCGUUUGCAUUCCUUGAACCACCAUUAAUUUUAUAGUGCAUGCUAUCAUCCCAUUUUCCAAAUAAACUUGCCACUGUUUUACCAUUCUUAUCUUGAACACCACCUAGUACCUAGAGAACAAAUAGUAUUGCUGCAAUUAAUGGUAAUGCCUAAUCAUGAUUCAUUCACAAAAUGAGAUAAUGCAAUGAGAACCUGAUAUGAGGGAAAACAUCAACAGACAAAUAUUGAUAGUCUUAUGGGUGACAAGCUAAUGGUCAAAUGAUUUUUCACCAAGCAAGCUUGAUAUCAUUACAAAAAAUGUGUUGGAAAUUGUUGCAUGAAAGGGCAGAACCUCUAAAGUAAUGUGCACGGGUAUACAAAUUUGACUAUACAACCGACAGAAAAGAAUAAGCCAGGAAUCAAACUAUCAUUAGAACAAAAAACCUGAGCUUAGGCUUAGCCUGUAGGAUACAAGUUUAACAAACUUAAAAAGCAAAAGAGACCUUGGAGACAAAACAUAAGCGAAAUAUUAUACAGCAUGAUGUGGACCUGGAAAAAGAAAUUUUUAGAAAAAGAGAUAUUUUCUAAUAAAUCUUCGAGGAUAGAAACUCCCAAUAUAUUCCAGGAACACUAGCGUCACUAUUCUUUCAAGCAGUCAAGUGCUUCAGUAGUACAAUGACUACACAUUAGUUGCUUUAUUAAAAUGAAAUUCAAGAUGGAUCAUUUACUUUGAUGAAAAAUAUGGAAAUGGGGAUAUUGGAACCUGGUGGGGAUUCCUGUCAAUGAGUGACUGCUCUUUGAAUUUUAGCUUGCAGGAGUAUUUCUGAUUCCCCUGUAUCUUCAUUGUACCAUAAUGAUCACAGUAUAGUUUCCCUAAAAUGAGGUUGUAAAUGGAUGUUGUCACCUGAUAAGAGAAAGACAGCUUAGCAGGAAUCUUAUAGAGAAUGGUAAGAGCUGUAAAAUGCCAAAAACAAACCUUACUCCACUGGAAAAUUUCUCCAUCAUCAAACUCUAGUGUUAAGGUGCCAACAGGAUCAAGUUGAAUUGAACGACCCCAAAAUUUACUUUUUAAAUCACUUUCACCCCAAAAUUUCCAGCCUCGACCCUCACAAUGGCAGGCAACAACCAUUGGGUGAUGACUAACCUGUUUCAAGAUGAGCCACAUUGAUAUGUUAAAAAUCAGUAGUGGCAUUUGCUACUUACUGACAAUGUGUAAAUGUGUGCAAAUACGCUUUCAAUUACAUAAUAUUUUUCUUUUCAGAAGCAACCAUAAAAAGGCAUGUCAUAUUAGACGUGUAUAAAUAAAGAACGAUUGCUUAUGGUGCUUCUAGCAGUGAUAGAGACACCUUCUCAGAGAUAAAGCGAAUGCCUUUAUCAGGAUAAUCGGCCUCAUAUGUUUCCCCUAGUAGUGGAUUGAAUGGCUUGCAAUGUCUUCCAUCAGUAGAGGCAUAUCCUGAUACUGCAAACGCUGCCACAUUGAGUGCUCUCAUAAGGCUAUUACCCUACAAAAAAUAAGCCAAGAUCGUGAGCACAUUUAUUAAGAGAACAGUGUAGGGUGAGAGGGUGAUUUGUCCAAAAUUCUUCCAAGAAAACUAAAAUACUGCACACUUGGCACUGAGAGCACUAGGAUUUAGGACACACUUCCACAUACAAGCACAGAGACCAUGCAGCAGCAACAGUCUGAUUAAUAGUAGUUCACAACAGAGCAUUUAAAGUAUAACUUCCAUGUCCAUAGCUUCUUAAGAAAUCUUGUGAUGGCUGUAAUAAAACAAUAAUAGGCGCAAGCAACAAGUCUCUUUGGUAGACACACUAGUUUCAAGUAGGAAAAAUCAUAACUUUGCUUUUGCAAGACAAGUAAAACUAGCAUGGUUUCAAAAAUAGUAAACGCUAGUGGCAGGCAUACCCCAAAAAGUUUGUAACCAGCAACGGUACAUUGACUAAAUGACAAGUAUGUGGUUUUUUUUUAAAUCAACUGUCAGAAAAGGAUAAGAAACAACAAGAAAGGAUGAACCUACCAUUUUACCAAAUUCAUAGGCUCGAUCUAUGUUGUAACCUAUUUUUGGGUCCCCAUAAAAAAUAAAAUAAAUAGCCAAAAAAGGUUAGAAAAAUAACAGGAGGCAUGAAGCGCCCAGAAAAUGGUUAGAAAAAUUAGUCAAGGAGGUUAAAAAUACAGAGAUGAAUUUUUGACAAUAUAUUCUUGAAUGAUGAGAGCCCUGGUAAGAAAAUUUGAUUUUUUGAGGAGAAAAGUCCAAAUUUGGAGAUUUAUGGACUUAAUUGGAUUUUUAAUUGAAUUUAUAAAGGGUUUGAUUGCAAGAAAAAUUGAUUUUUAAGUCAAUUUGGGCUUUAAUUGGAAGAAAUUUAAGUUUUGGGGCCAAAAUAUAUUUUUUAGGAAUUUAUUAGGUCAAAUCAGGGGCUUAAUUGCAUAAAUAUUGAAGUUUAAUGGCCAAUUAGGGGCUUAAAUGUGAAAAUCCGAAACCAGGGACCAAUUUGGAAAAGGCGCGAAGAUAGAGGGGGCUGUAUUGAAUUGAUUCAGGGGCCUAAUUGAAGAAAUUGGAAGUUUAUUGAUCAAUUGAGGGUCAAAUUGCAUAAAUCAGAGGACAAGGAUCAAAGUGGAAAAGGCGGCCAAAUAUGAGGGCGGCAAUUGAAUUUUCGAAGGAUGCAAUUGAAAUGAACAAAAGAAAAUUGAGGGUUGAUUUGAAAAUGGAAACGUUCUGGCGCCACAUUUAAAUGAAACGACGCGUUUUGUCCAAAACGACGCCGUUUCAUGUAAAAAAAAAAAGAAAAAAAAAAAAGAAAAGGAGAAGAGAACUAACCGAAGGGAGGAGAGAACUGACCGAAGGGGGGAAGGGAGAAGAAAAAACCCGAGACUAAGAGAGAGAGAGACUGAAGGAGAGAGAAACAGUUGAACUAAAGUAAUAAACACAUAAAACUCAAGGAAACGAAACUGGGAGAAGGGGGAAGAGGACAGGAGCCGGGGAAGAGCUUAGAGAAAACGAAGACCGAGCAGCACCGCCAGGUUACCGAACCGUUGGGAACCGCCGCUUUGAGCCACCAACCUCCGCUGCAGCACCAUCAACACGGACGUUCGACCAACAGCAUCGCCUCCGCCGUGCCAGGUAUUCUUCUCCCCCUGCAUUUUUCAUUUUGCCCUUACUUUAGUUCUUUCCUCAUGCAUGCAGAAUCGUUCUGCAUGCAGGAGUUAGGGGAAGGGAAAAUAAUUCCCUUCCCCGUUGGGUUCUUAUACUGGGCCGGGUUUCCGGCCCAGUUUUGUUAUUAGUUUUUUUGGGCCAGACCGAGUCUGGCCCAAAGAGAAGUUUUUGUUGGGCCGAGAUCGGCCCAGCCACCUUGCGGGCCGAGAUCGGCCCAAUCCUGUUUUGGGCUGAUGUUUGGCCCAUUUCCAACUGGGUUGGGUUCGGCCCAUUUAGUUGGGCCGGCCCAGCCCGUUUUUUAUUUUUAUUAUAUAUAUUAUGAAUUAUAGUAGAUUAUAAUAUAUAUGUGUGUAUAUUGUGUAUAUAUAUUUUUACUUUAAAAAAAAAUAUAUUUCGAAAAAAUCUAAAAAAAAAAUAUUGUUGAUUUCCUUGAAUAUUUUUGUCAAAAUGGGUUAAUGUUGGUUGGUAUUUUUAUACUGUAAAGAUACAAAAUCAAUGUUAAAAAUACUUGGUUUUCGUAAAAACAUCAAAGAUUUUCAGAAUAAGAAAUGUUUUUGCUUUCAAAAAAUUUUCUAAAAAAUCCCUAAAAAUAUUGUUGAUUUUUCUGCAUUUUUUUUUAUUAAAGUGGAUUAAUAUUGGGUUGUAUUUUUAUACCGUAAGGAUACAAGCUCAGUAUUUAAAUACCCGAUUUUCGUCAAAACCUAAAAAACAAAAAAAAUAAUAAUAAUAUUUUCAAAAAUUGUUUUGUUUUAAAAUACGGCCUGGUCUCUCCAAUAUAUAUAGAUAUAAACAUUAUAACAUCAUAUUUUUUUUACACAACAAAGAAAAUUUUCAAAACAAUAUAUGAAUUAGCAUGCAUUUUGGCUUUAAUGACCAGUUUAUUUAAGCCAUGAGAACUAGGCCAAUAUUUCAAAAAAAUUCUAAAAAUCUUUUUGUUUUCUCUUAGUAUUUGGGAUUACGAAUUUAUACGUAAAACGUAUUCCUAAAUAUUAUUUUUUUGUAUAGACGUUAGAACGGUUAGGAUUUUACUCGAUAAGAUAAAAGACCUUCUUACUGAGGAGGAUUUUUCUUGAACCAUAGACAGACCCACGACUAGAAGUACAAUAACAUCUUAGUUUUUAUCAGACAAUAAAACAAUGCAGCUUACUUUAGGUAGGGCGUAUUUGGGGUGCUAAUACCUUUCCUUUACGCAACCAGUCCCCAUACCCGAUCUUUGAGACCAGUUAGGGUUCUUAGUGACCAAAAUACUAAGUGGCGACUCCCAUUCCAUUUUCUACUCACAAAAGACAAUAUUUUCUUGUAUCCCCAUAGAUAUGGAUAGAUUUACAUUGUAGAUAAGAAAAUGGAACAACCAAUAUAAUUUUCGCCGCGACGCCGCACACGUGCGACAAUCUAGAAGGAACGAGUAUUCCAAAUCCUCAAAACAUUUCUGUAAAGAAGAGAUGGGCUCAUUGAAAUAAACUGGAAGACAAACUCUAGUAAGAUCCUUCCCGAUAUUAUCUUUAAUCAUUGACCAAAGACUGACCCCCUUCUCCUUCUCAACUGGGUCAGGCAAUUUCUUUCGCCUCAUAACACAAGGGUAGUUAGAUCCAACAAAUUUGAUACAGGAAUCCAUGCCAUCUUCAAUAUCAAGCGGGCCUUCGUCUUCAUCAGAAUCAUAUGGUGUUUUCUGAAAUUCAGAUUCAGCACUUUUAAACGAACUUGAUGAAAGAAAAUCUUGAGUAUCAAGGAAUUCAUCGUCAUCAUCUGUUUCCUCCUCUGCAGCAUCAUGUCUGUCAUGAUCAUCAUCGGAGCCACUUGCACUUCCCUCUACAUAAAUUCCACACAAAGAGGGUCAAAAGAUAAAGUUAAAAUGGAUGACAGAGUUCAAAAGGAAAACAGAGAAAGAGGCUAAAUAUUGAAGACACGAGCAAGAGACAGGGGGCGAGAGGCCAGGUGUUGGUUUUCAAUUAUCCAUGAGAAAUCAAUUAGAAAUAGGUAUGUAUAUAAAUGAGUUUGAUUUAAAUAGCUACUAGUAUAGCAAUCAACUUGGGAGUUUUGAAGCAGAGAAACUUCAGACAAGGGUAAAGUAACAGGCCACAGGAAUUCAUCAUAAAAGCAGAUAGAGGUGCCUCAUUUAACCCACUCACAGACAGCUCAUCAUUCGCAUACAAGGCGCCAUGCAAGGCAGCUGAAAGUAUUUCAUAGCAUCCAUUUUCAGAACAAAGGAACUUCUAACUAAGCAAAACUAUAAUUCAACCAAACAAAAGUUAACUAUAGAAUCCAUGGCUGGUCCUCCAAACAUUUCUUCUUACAUAUAAUCAGCUGCUAAAACAAAUAAACAUGCACAAGUAUUGCAUUCAAAUUUCAAUCUAACAUGAAGGAUUAACAAACACGUCAGAUUUAAUUAUUCCAUAACCCACUAUUAAUCUAUCAUCAUUACACAUAAUUUAUGUAAGAUUAUCUUUUAUCUUUGACAAUUAUUGCAUUGCUAAUAAUUUGCAAGAAAACAUACUUUUUCAAUUUCCUUUUAUUUUUUUUUAUUAUGUUAGUAGAUGCUAGAUGCUGUUUGUUUUUGUGUUUUAAAAAUAUUUUUAAAAAAAUUUGAGAUUUUUUUAUUUUUUUUAUUUACUUUAAAUUAAUAUUUUUAGAUUAAUUUAAUACGUUAAUUUUAAAAAUAUUUAAAAAUAAUUCGAUGGUUUUUAAAUAAAGUUUUUUUUAGAAAAUCAUGACCCAUCACUGGGUAUCGAAAAAACAAUUAUGGUUGAUUUAGCCUCAUCUUCUCUGCUUGUAAAAUUGAGGCAGAUUAUGAACUUAACCGAGCAAUUACGGCUUGAAAUUCCUAGCAAUUUACAAAGGAAUUUUCCUUGUUCUUUCUCUAUACAUUAUUAGAAAAACUGUCAUUGACUGAUUUAAUUGCAAAGUCUUUGCAAGAAAGCUAAAACAAUUAGAGUUUUUUAAAAUAAAAAAAAUAUAAAGAAAAAAAUAAAAAUUAAAAAUUAAAAAAGGAGCAAAAGGAAACAACCCCCGUAUUUAUUGUUCCCUUUCCCGUCUUUACAUGGCUUGAUGAAAAAGCAAACACCCCAUUAGUUGUUGCCACCAAAUUCAACUACACGCUUGAGAAAUUUCCUUGCUUUUUUCCCCUCUAAGUGUUACCUUUUACCUCUUUUAUAAUUUUGAUUAUUGCAUUGCUAAUAAUCUGCAAGAAAGAUGAUGAAAAUUUUUUAGUGAAUUCAAAAUAACAAAAUAAGGUUUGUCGAGGCUUUUCUUGGAACCUCGCUAGGGGUUUAAUUAGCGAGAAUGAAUUCUACAAAGAUAUCGGACUGUGAGUUUGUUUCACAAUAAUGACCUUGUGGGUGGACAAUCAGAAUACGUUAGUGAGACAAAAUAUAAUGAGGUUAAUAAUGGGCUUCUACCACUCAUCAUUUAUCCCCAGGGAAGGCCAGGUAGGCCUAGGCCACUGCUUCUGUUAAAAAUACACUUAAUUCAGCUUAGGCAUCAACAAUAUUUUGCAUUAGUCUUACCACUACAUUAUAAUUAUAAGAGCUGUCAAGAUUCUGUUAAGUUAAUCUUUUAACAGAUCAUAGCAUGAUAUAAAUUUGGUGCUAUAAAUUAGCAAUUGAGUUUGUUUGGUUUACUAUAUAUUUGUACGGAUUGCAAUGAUCCAAAUACAAUCAAUUCAUUUUAGUUCAAUAACAAAACUAAAAUAACACUUGUAAGGUGAUGCAUAUUCUUGCAAUAAAUAAAGCCACCAAAGGCAGAUGCGUAUGUCUAUAUAUACAUGAACUGCUGAUUCGAUUUGAACACCCCAUUUCUCCGAUUGCUGCAAUUUCAUAGCUAGCUCUUUGUUAUACACAGGUAUACACGGCUAACUCUUCUUUGCUUCUUUCUUGUUUUAAUUUCAUGUCUUUACCAAUAACAUUAAUGUGAAAGCUUUGUUUGUUUCAUGUUUAACUUCAGUUGCUAUUGUCUUAUGCUAUCUCAUUAUUAAGCUUAAAUUGCUGUAUUAUCUUCGAUGAUCACUUCACCUGUAUCAGCAAUUGCUAAAUAUUGAUUGUUCCUUAAAUUCUGCAGCUGAAAUGACAGAGCCAGAGUCUUCUCGCUCUAGACCAGAAGGGGCCUAUGAUGUCUUCUUGAGUUUUAGAGGAGCGGAUACUCGCAAGACGUUUACUGAAUAUCUAUAUGCUACCUUAAAUCAAGCAGGAAUCCACACUUUUCGAGAUGAUGAUGAACUUCCUAGAGGAGAAGAAAUCUCCAAUCAUCUCCUCAGGGCUAUUCAAGAAUCAAAGAUAUCCAUAGUUGUCUUCUCAAAAGGAUAUGCUUCUUCUAGAUGGUGUCUCGAUGAACUUGUAGAGAUUCUGAAGUGUGAAAAGAAGAAAACCGGUCAGAUUGUUAUUCCUAUAUUCUAUGACAUUGGUCCUUCAGAUGUGAGAAAACAGACUGGCAGUUUUGCAGAGGCAUUUGAUAAGCAUGAAGAGCGUUUUGAAGAGAAGUUGGUGAAGGAGUGGAGAAAAGCUCUCAAGGAGGCUGCAAAUCUAUCUGGAUGGAAUCUCAAUGAUAUGGCAAAUGGGUAUGCCUUUUUUUCUCUAAGAUUCACUUGCACACAUUUAUGGAGUCAUUAUACUCUACAUUUUUCAAUGUGAAACAAUAAAAUACUCAAUUGACUCGCUAUCAAUGACUUGCUUUUGUCUAUGAGCAGGUCUGAAGCAAAAUUUAUCGAAAAGAUUAUCAAGGAUGUGUUGAAUAAAUUAAAACACAAGUACUUGAAUGUUCCUGAGCACCUGGUAGGUAUGGAUCGGCUUGCUCGCAAUAUUUUUGACUUUCUAAGUACUGCAACAGAUGAUGUAUGCAUUGUGGGCAUACAUGGGAUGCCAGGAAUAGGAAAGACAGCUAUAGCAAAAGUUGUAUUUAAUCAACUCUGCAAUGGAUUCGAGGGAAUCUGCUUUCUUUCGGAUAUCAAUGAAACAUCAAAACAAUUCAAUGGUCUGGCUCUUUUACAAAAGCAACUUCUUCAUGAUAUUUUACAACAAGAUGUUGCUAACAUCAAUUGUGUCGAUAGAGGAAAGGUUCUGAUCAAAGAACGACUUCGUCCCAAAAGAGUUCUUGUUGUUGCUGAUGAUGUGGCUCAUCUGGACCAGCUGAAUGCAUUGAUGGGAGAUCGAAGUUGGUUUGGUCCCGGAAGUAGAGUGAUAAUUACAACAAGAGAUUCAAGUGUUCUACUUAAAGCAGAUCAAACAUAUCAAAUCGAAGAAUUGAAACCAGAUGAGGCCCUUCAGCUUUUCAGCUGGCAUGCCUUUAAGGACACCAAGCCAGCAAAAGAGUAUAUUGAGCUUUCGAAGAAAGCCGUUGAUUACUGUGGAGGACUUCCUUUAGCUCUUACGGUUAUAGGAGCUUGUCUGUCCGGGAAAAACAGAGGUAGAUGGGAAAGUGAAAUUGACUACUUGAGCAUAAAUCCAAACCAAGAUAUUCAAGGAAAGCUUCUAAUAAGUUAUCACGCACUUGAUGUUGAACUACAAAGAGCAUUCCUUGAUAUCGCUUGCUUCUCUAUUGAUAGAAAGAAAGAGUACAUCGCAAAAGUGCUAGGAGCCCGUUUCCGUUGCAAUCCAGAAGUUGUUUUGGAAACUCUCCGUGAAAGGUCUCUAAUUAAAGUAUUGGGAGAGACGGUAACCAUGCAUGAUCUAUUACGAGACAUGGGAAGGGAGGUCGUCCGUGAAUCGUCUCCCUUGCUUCUUGGAAAGAGGACCAGAAUUUGGAAUCAAGAGGAUGCAUGGAAUGUACUUGAGCAGCACUAGGUAAGAGCUCAAUGCAUAACGAAAGCACAGUCAUGCGUGUUUUCUAGUCAAACUUAUUACAAAUAAUUGUAUGAAAGUUGUAUUGAUUUUUUUCUUAGGAUAGGUAUGCGUCUUGCACUGGAUGUCAGAUCAUUAGAAGCUAAAUCAAAUGAAAUGCUUAAAUUUACUCCAAAUUAAUGGACUACAUCUCAUCGGAUCCUUCAAGCUGCUUUCUAAAGAGUUGAUGUGGAUUUGUUAACUUCAAUGUCCUUUGAAAUAUUUUCCAUCUGAUUUUACAGUUGAAAAUCAGAUUAAGCUUGCUCUUUAAAAACACAUAAAAAUAGUCAUGGAACACUUGACUGAUCAAACAAAAAAAAAAUUAUUUAUUUUCUUUUAUUGAGCUCCAUAGUUUAAACUCUCUCUUUUCACAUAAUUUUUAGUUUGGUGUAAAUAUUCUAAUGUUUUUUAUAAUCUUUAUAUUUAUAUUUUUCAAUAUAAGUACACAUAGCAUCAUUGAAUCUUUUGAUUGAAAGUAAAAGGUUUUAUCUCGUAAAAUCAUCUCUAGAAGGUUUUAUUUGGUCAGUCUUCGAAAACUUAGGGAUUAAAAAAAAAAAACUUCUUGAUUUAAUUUGGAAACCUCAAGGAGAAAAUUGAAACAAGUAUAACCUCACGGGGGAGAAGUUGAAUUCUCCCCAAACUCAGGGGUUAAUUAAAAUUAACCUUUAAAUUUCUAUCCAUGCCCAGGUGCCCACGAAAGAGAAGAGGUACAUCCACGUGAAGCUCAUUUUGGGUUUGGGUUAGUUGAAAAUAUCUAGUGGGUGGGGCUUUUUUUUCUGUUUUUCUGUUUUUUUUUUUUUUUUUUUAUGCACAGAAUACAUGAAAUAAUAAAUUUAAAUCCAACAAAUCCAAUAGAGAUAUAAUACUGUAUACGAUCAACAUGAAAGAAUUUUACGAAAAGACAUGCAAAUAUCAUAUAUUAUGAGUCUCUGCCAGUCAUAAUUCUAUUGUUGUGUAUCAUCAAUUAUCUUUCUUGUAUAGGAAAUAUCAGGUUGGAUUUUGCUGAUGACAAACUUAAUCUUAGAGAUUGCAUCUGCGGUUUUUGACCAGAUGGGUUACGCAUUAAUUGGCAUGGUGUUGGCAUUUGUAGCUUUGCUUCUUGCUGCCGUUGAACUCAUUCACAUGGCUCGAAAGGAAAGAACUAAACGGGAGGGCCUAUUGCCACCUUUUCAUCUCCAUGCAACUGGAAAGCCUGUUGGCACUAUUGUUGAGUAUUUUGGAUUGGCUGGUGCUGUCUGGCAAUGUGUUUAUUCGACUGUGGAGUAUAUGUAUACUCGUCAGAAGAAAGAUAAUCCAAUUAAGAUGUGUCUUCUACCUUUCAUUUUCUUAUUAUGCGUGGUGAUUUCCAAAUUAUUAGUCAACAAGAGUUCCGUUGUAAAUAGUUCUUAGCAAUGGUAUUUUCUUUGAACUAGAAGAAAUUGCUAGUAUUGUGUUCCAAGGACUCUUUUUAGUGGGAAUGAGUCAAAGAUUUUGAUUCCUAGAUUUUCUUAUCGAAGACCCAGACUUGUAAUGCAAUUAAGACACUAUUUUUGAGACAGUGAGCUUGAGUUGAUGUUGACAAUCUAGCUAUUAUUGAUAUGCGGUUAAGUAAUCUCAAAUAACUAUGGAAGGAAAAAACUGUCAUUGACUGAUUUAAUUGGAAAUUAUUUGCGAGAAAGCUAAAAAGAAUUAGAGUUUUUUAAUUUAUAAAAUUAUAAUUCUAAAUUCUAAAAAAAAAUUCAAUUAUUUUUAAAAUUAUUUUAAAAAAUAAAACAUCAACUAUUUAUAUAAUAGAUAAAUAAAUCUAUUAAAAUAAAUUGAGAAUAACUAGUAAAAUCAAGCAAAUAAUCCAAAAAUAACAAGAAAAUAAAUAUAUUUUCUAGAUCUUAUUUGAGUAUUUUUUUUUUUCUUGAUUGACUGCCUUGUCAAAGUCUUUAUUCAGCAUAAACAAACUUUAUUCUAAAAGUCUGUUUGAUAUUUCUUCACUUAUCUAUGACAUUACUUCUACUGUACAGAAUAGAAAUAAAAAUUAGAUGAUAUUGGAAUGACAAAAACUCAUUUGCACAAAUUAUCCAUUAUGUAAUUUAUAUUUUCAAAUUACAAUUUUUGACGAGCCUUGUGUUUAGUUAAGGUGUAUCAAUCUGUUGGCUAUUUGAGGAGCCUCGGUUACUUGAAUCUGAAGGGAUGUUAGAGGCUAAAAAUCCUUCCGCGGAGCAUUUGUGAUAUGAAGUCUCUUGAAACUUUGAAUAUUUCAGGGUGUUCAGGACUUGAGAAAUUACCAGAUUGCAUGGGUGAUAUGGAAUCCUUAACUAAGGUGCUAGUGGAUGGAAUUGAAAAUGAGCAAGUUCUCUUUUCAAUUGUAUAAUUAAAGCAUGUCAGAAAAAUAUCAUUGCGUGGAAACAGUUUCUAUCAGAACUCAUCGUCAUCUACAUUUUGGCAUCCACCAAUUUCUUCUUGAUUUCAGCAAGUGUUUUAUAUUGAAAACGUUUCUUGAACUUCCUGAUGAUGAUUUUUCUAAUCACGCAACUAACUGUGUUGAUUUUAGGGGUUUGUCCUCUCUAGAACAAUUGGAUCUAUCACAAAAUAAAUUCUCUAGCGUGCCUUCUGGGAUCGACUUCCUUCCCAAGCUAGGGACCUUGAGUGUUGUUGGAUGCGACAAUCUUGCAUCAAUCUCAAAUCCUCCCUCAAAUUUAUACUGUUUGAAUGCACUUUAUUGCAAAUCAUUGAAAAGAGUAAGAAUACAGUCAAAAGAAGAAAUACUUAUAGAUCUAAAUGAUUGUCCUUUAUUAGAAGAGAUUCAGGACAUCGAAGGUCGCAGUAAUAUUUUCUAGUGUAUUUAUGUUGAUUUCCCUAGGGAUUCAUCAAAUAAUUUCUAGAAGAGCCUUAUUGAGGUACUAUUUAUGUCUCUCUUGCGCAAAAAUAAACACACACAUUGAUUAAUUUUUAAAAUCUCAGCAUUACUUGAAAUCAAUAUAUAUUUAUACAGGCAUUGGGCGCCAGUUGUUACCGGUAUUUUAUUUACAACAUUCCUGGUGAGAUGCCAAAUUGGUUGAGUUAUAUCAUCUUUUCUUAUAUUUCCCUUGUGAUUUAGAGCCCGUUUGGAAACAUGGGCCAACCCGCGUUUCCAAAAAUUUUUAAAAAAAUAUUAUAAAAAUUAAAUUUAUUUUUUUUUAUUUUGAAUUGUUUUGAUGUACUGAUCUUAAAAAUAAUUUUACAAAAAAAAAAAACCCACCAUUUUUGCAUUUCGGCAAGAAAAUAAUCACAACCAUACUCCCAAAAGGCUCUUAAUAAUAGCGUCAACACAUGAGCAAUGAAGUAACUAUUUAUUUCCGAAGCUACAAAAACAUAAUCUCGAUUUAAUGUUUUUUUUUGUAAGAAUAAAUAUUUCAUUUAGUUAUUAUUAUUUUAUUUCUUUUAAUUUAAAACAUUAAAAAUUAUCUUUAAUUAUUUUAUUUUUCUUAUUUAAUUUUAAAAAUUAAAUAUCAUCUUUAAUAAUAUUUUUUUAUUAAAUAUUUAGAGUAUGUUAGAUUUUAUUAUUUAUUUAUUUUAUUUUAUGAUAAUAUUUUUAUUAUUAAAUUUAAAAAAUUAAAUGUUAUCUUUAAUAAUUAGAUCUAUCCAAUCUCACUUAAUUAAACCAUUAUUUUAUUGCUAGAAACUUAUGAGUCUUUUAAGCCAAAAGAAUUGUAGGAAGAGCUAAAAUUAGCAAGGAAUAUUUAGAGUCUAUUUGAUUUUAUUGUUUAUUCUUUGAUUUCAUGGUAAAAUUUUUAAAUUUUGAAAAACAAAAAUUGAAGACUUAUAUGUUUUGAACUUUUUUGUUAUAUAUAUAUAAAAAAAAAAACCAACAGUCACUAACAUAAUUUCGUAAAAUCACUUUAGUUUAUUUGAAAAAUAUAUUGAAAACUGAUUUUUUGUUUUUUUACAUUAAAAACAAAAAUUGAACAAUCUUUUUAUAUUUUACUUCAAAUAUGGUAUUUUAAAACAAAAAUGAAAACGACGUGAAAUUAACCAUUUUAAUUAUAAAGUAAGUUUCUUAAUUAAAAGUGAAAGUGAGUUAAUUUGUAAUAACAUGAAUUUUGUUGGUUUUUCAUGGAACGCAAUAGGUCAGCACUGGAUGCAAGACCCUUAAAAGAUAGAUCAUUGAUCAUUUACAGAGAGAUGCUUGAAGUUAAUUACUCUAGAUAAGUAUUGGGCUUUUCAGAUUUCUUUCUGACAACUUAUUCAUGAUGGAAUUUAUACUUUUUCUCAAGACAAAUUGAUAAAAACUACAAAUACAUAAACAAAAAAAAAAAGUAUUUAAUCGUUAUGUUUUAUAUUCAUCUAUGAUUUAAUUUUUUUCCAUCAAUUUCAUUUUCUUAUUUAUUUUAAUCCUAAAAUAACAAUAAAAAAAAAAUAAAAAAUCAUAUCAAGAAGUUCAAUUCAAAAUAAACAAGAUGCUUAAAAAAUCUUUUAGUAUCGCAUCUUUUUUUUGUAAAAAAAUAUAAAACAACAACGUAUUUAAUCAACUCGAGUUUUGUGGCCUAACCAUACCGUGACAAUCAUGUAAAAAUCAAAUUUUAAAAAAUCAAUCCAUAGAAAAAAAAUGCAUUGGAAAAACAAAUUUAAAAUAAAUUAAAUAAUUAAAAAAAGUUCAGUAAAAUAUAUUUUAUAAAAAAAAUAUUCAGACAAUAAUAACAAUUAUCAAGCUAAUAUUCAUACCAUUCCAAAUGAAGCCUUACAUGGUGAAACGAAGCUCAUUGGGCUAUAAAAAGUGCAAAUAACUUCUGAAAAGAUUAAAACGAUUCAAACUAAGCUCAGGAAGUACAAAGUAGACAGAAGAGUUAUGUUGACCUUAUACGACUGGAAUUGAAAUUUGUUGAUGGUGAUUAUGUAUUUUUGAGAAUUCCUCCUACCAUAUAUUGGGCCUUUUAAAAUUUUGAAGAGAAUUGGUGCUGUUGCUUAUGUAUUAGCUUUUCCACCCAGCUUUUUCAUCUAUACAUCCAGUGUUCCAUGUAUCUCCGUGCUCUAUCACAUAUAUUGGAGCCAUAAACAGUAGCAUUUCAAGAAGAUAUGUCAUGUGAGAAUCAACUGGAGAACCUGAGAAGAUGAUACGUAAUAAAUAUUGUUAUUUCUUCGUUCAAUCAAGCCCAUUUGUUAGUUAUAUAACCCAUUAUUGUUUUAUAUGUUGGCCCGUUAAUUAGGUAGCCCAUUUGUUAUUACAGAAAGAUAGAGGUAAGGACAUUGUUAGUCAUUUUCUUCCUUAAUUCUCUCUUUGUUGUAAUGAGUAAAUACCUUAAGAAAUUUGAAUAUUUGAAAGAUAAUGAGUAAAUUUCAAAGAAUCAUAUUGAAAUUAUGGAAAAUAUGUUUUGGUGUUGAUGAUGGAAGAAUUACAGUUUGGUCCUUGCCUUUGAGAAAUUAAGAUUUUGUCCCUAAAUUCUAAAACAAUUAUAGUUUAGACUCUGGUUGUAAAUAGCAAUUUUUAGAUAUCUUUUUGAUAAAUAUUUGAGAAAUAUUGAUUAUCUAUUAUCAAUUUUUAUUGUUAUCAUUUAAAUUUAGAAUUAAUUCUAUUAUGUAUUUAAAUGCGUUUAGCUAUUUUUUCUCCUUUAAUGUAGCUAUUUUUUCUCCUUUAAUGGGCUAGGAUUUGAAACAAAUGUGGCUAUGUUUUCUCCGUUUAAUAUAAAAAAAUAAUAUUCAUGGAUUAAUUUUCGUAUAAUUCAAGAAAGCAAGUCCUUAAAUCAAAUUUUAGAGUGACCAUCCUCAAUGUGUUAAAAGUAAAUGUUAAAGGAGAGAGAGAAAUAAAAAUAAAAAUAAAAAGCAAAAGCAAAAGGAAACAACGCCCAUCUUUCUUGGUCCUCUCUCUCUUUCCUUGCUUUUUUUAACGUGUGGACCUAGCAGUUGUUGCCACCAAAUUCCAGCUCAAUAUUUACCAGCUCUACACGCUUGAGAAAUUUCCAUGCUUUUCUUCCUCUACGUACUGUUACCUUUUACCUUUUAUAAUUAUGAUUAUUGCAUUGCUAAUAAUCUCCAAGAAAGAUGAUGAAUAUUUUUUAGUGAAUUCAAAAUAACAACAAAUAAGGUUUGUUGAGUCUUUUCUUGGAACCUUGUUAUGGGAUUAAAUAGGGAGAAUAAUAAAAUUAUGUGCGAAUUAUACAAAAUUUAUUAUUAAUCAUAAAUUUUUAUUCUUGAUCAUCAAUAUUGAAUAAUGGCUUAUUUUCUAGUAUAAACUGUGUUUGAAAUAUCAAGUUGAUGUUCUUAAGUGUUUUUUUGAUGAUUUUAAUAUACUGAUAUUAAAAAUAAAAAUAAAAAUAAAAAAACUAAUUUUGUUUUCAAAAAGAAAUUGACAAUCAAUUCCUUGCUUUACUCUCCAGCUAGCCUGAUACAUAUGAGUCUCAAGACAUAUGGCCAUUGAUAAAAAGGUGUGUUGAAGCAAAAUCUUUUUUUAAUUAUCUGUAGCGACCUCAAUAAUUUUGUCAAUAUGCACCUACCUUGAAAUUACCAAUACGUAAAUUCCAGCUCAAUAAUUGCCAAUACGAGCUUGAGAAAUUUCCUUGCUUUUUUUUUCCCCUGUACAUGUUUCCUUUUUAUCUUUUAUAAUUAUAAUUAUUGCAUUGCUAAUAAAUUACCAAUACGUGUGGACCCAGUUGUUGCGACCACCACGAAAUUACCACUCCAAAUUCCUUCUUCUUUCUCUGUAUUUUAUUAGAAAAACUGUCAUUGACUGAUUUAAUUGGGAAUUAUUUGCGAGAAAGCUUAAAGAAUUAGAGUCUUUUAAUUUAUAAAAUUAUAAUUUUAAAUUGUAAAAAAAAUUCAAUUAUUUUAAAAAAUAAAAUAUCAACUAUUUAUAUAAUAGCUAAAUAAAUCUAUUAAAAUAAAUUGAGAACAACUAGUAUAAUCAAGCAAAUAAUCCAAAAAUAAUAAGAAAAUAAAUAUAUUUCCUAGGUUUGAUUUGAGUAUAUUUUUUAUAUUAAUUGACUGACUUGCUAAGUCUUCGCUGAGCAUAAAUGAACUUUACUCUAAGAGUAAGAGUAUGUUUGAUAUUUCUUUACUUAUUAAUGAAAUGUUACUUUUAAUUUAUAGCGGAUUGAUUUAUUGAGCCAAUCUGAAUUUAAUAACUAUAGUCUAUAGUCAUACUGCUAAUACUUGCACCGAAGCUAAUAAUAUUUUUUUUCUAAAAUAAAGAUGAAUAUUUUUUGUUGGCAUUAAUAAUUUAAAAUGAGAAUUAAAGAGCAAAGGGUUUAAGCAAUAUUAAAAGAGAAGGUUUUGUGUAAGUAUUAGAUAAUUGAAAUCAUCACUAGUUCAUUUUCUUUUUUUAUUACCCCUUCCGCUUGGCAUGCCUGAAAAGGAGCCAAAAAAAUAACCAUAGGUUUUUCCGGUUUUGGACCUCAUAGGUUUGGACCGGUUCCGGUUUAGUUUGGAUCCCUUUUUUAAAAACAGUUUGGUUGUUUUCUAAAGGUAAAAACCAAACCGAACAAAAAAUGAUCACCUCUAGCAGCAACAACACAUUAACAUACCAGCAUUAUGGCAGAAGGAGGGACGACCUUAGAGCAAGUGCAGAGGUAUGUUAAAGGCUUGGGUAAGCUAUAGCCCAAGUCAAGACUUUAUCAAUAUUUUAUAGCUAGUUUUAUGUAAAAAAAAUUAUAAUUCUUGAUUGAGUUAUCAAAAAAAAAAAUUAAAAUUUACGUGGAGCCUUCUAAUAUAAUAUUUUAACUUGGGUUAAAAUUUCAUAAUAAUUUAAGAAAUUCAAAAAUUUGAUGAAAAAUCACAAUUUGACCAGUUUUAUGUUAUUGGACAUAAUUUUCAAUUCGACAAUUAGAUUGAACUGAAAUUUUACGAGAGAUCUUAAAAUAUAUUGAAUAAAAUAUGGUUAAAAUUUUAUGAUGAACGAAGCUUGGAAGUGCUAACAAAAAAAAACUGUCAAAUAAAAACAAAUCGACUCAUUAAGGGUAAAAUGAUUACUAUUAAAAAAUAAAACAAAUAAGCUCUUCCUUCAUUUUAUAUGUUGCCGACUAGACAGAAGCAGAAUAAGAAAAGAAAGAAAAGAAAAGGCAAGAGAGAAAGAAAUGAAAGUAGGGGUCAUCAUUUUCGGUUCGGUUUGGUUUUUAACAAAACAAGUAACCAAACUGAAUUUUUUUUUGAAAAAAAAACCAAAACCGGUUCGAACCGGCCGGUUUGGUUUUUUAAGGAAAAAAACUGGUUCAAACCAGUUUGACUCGGUUUUUUUUCGGUUUGGCUCGAUUUUUUCGGUUUUGACUCGAUUUUGCUUGGUUUUUUCGGUUUUGGCUCGGUUUUUUCCCGGUUUGACUCGGGUUUUUUCAGUUCGGUUCGGUUUCAGACGUAUAAAACCGAUAUCAAACCGGUCGGUUUUUUCAAAAUUUUAAUCGGUUUUUUUUCACGGUUCGGUUUUUUCAGUUUUUUUGCUCACCCCUAGAUAAAAGUAAGGGAAAAACAUUAAAAAAAAAAUAAGAAAAGUAAAAGAAUAACAUUGUAAACUUACAAAGUCCAACUUAUAAAACACUAAUUUAAGGAAGAAUUAAGUGAAGGAAGGAGGAAUUGAGAGAGAGAAAAAAUUUAAUUACUUUGUUUCCAGUUGACAUGAGAUUGUUAUUUUAUCUCGAUUGAGGAGUUGUUACAAUAUCGAUUAAGAUUCGAUUAUAGAUAAAUUAUAUUUCACAAAAUAUUGAAAGAUGUAACUUCAAUAAUAAAUUUAUUUUUACUUUCACUUCAAUUUUAUGUAUUUUUAAAUUUAUUUUUUAAUAUUUUGGGUAGUAUAUUUGAAUUAAAACUUUAUUAUUAGUUUCAAAUAUAUAUAUAUAUAUAUAUGAAUUAAUAAUUAAUCUUAAAUAAAAUUAUAUAUUUAUUUAAUAGCUCAAGAAAAAUUCAUUACUCCGUCCUUACAUUAGAGUACACUCCCACAUGCGUUGUGGCGGCGGUUUGCUCUGUUAUUGCGCUCAUUUCUCUUAUUGUUGAAAGAUCCCUUCGCCUCCUUGGAAAAAGAUAAUAUAACUGCAUUGACCGGAGAUUUCACUUAGAAUUUCUAGUAAAUUACAAAGGAAAUUUCCUAUGUUUUUUCAUGUACAUGUAUUGAAAAACUAUCACUGAUUGACUGACUUGCAUUGACUGAAUUUCUAAGUAUUUGCUGCUCGAAAUGAGCAAUCCUGUUUUUUCAAUGCUGCCAUUUAGCAAGUCCACAUGUCAUGAGUCUACACGGCAUCAAAUUUGCAAAAUCAUAUAGCCCAUUGAUAGAAAUCAUAUAGCCCAGUUGUUGCAAUACACCCUUGAGAAAUUCCAGCUCGAUCUUUACCAAUACACGCUUGAGAAAUUUCCUCUACGUACGUGUUACCUUUUACCUCUUUUAUAAUUAUUAUGAUUAUUGCAUUCCUAAUAAUUUGCAAGAAAGAUGAUGAACACUUUUUAGUCAAUUCAAAAUAACAAAAUAAGGUUUGUUGAGGCUUUUCUCGAUCAGGGAUUAAUUAACGAGAAUAAGAAAAUCCCCUUCAAAUUAUACAAAAUUUAUUAUUAGUCAUCUAUAUUUAUUAUUAAUCAUCUAUAUUGAAUAAUGGCUUAUUUUAUAGUAUAAACAAUGUUUGAAAUAAAAUUAGUAAAAGAUAUUAUACAUAAUUAAUGAUGGGAUCGUUUAUAAAAAUGACUAAAUUAAAGUUUUUCAAUUAUAUUUAAACAUAUUAUAAUUUUAAUAAAUGGGCUGUACAUCAUGUAAAUUAUAAAAGAAUAUUUAAAUUAUAUAUAUAUAUAUAUAUAUAUAUAUAUAUAUAACAAAUUAGAUGAUACUAACAAGAAAAUAUAUAGGAAUUAGUUUGAAUAAAGGAUACUAGUUAUAUAUCUAGAGAAGAAGUUCGAAGAAUAGAAUGAAGUCAAAUAUUCUUAAUAAAAAAGAAAAAAACACAUAAAGAAAUAAAAUAUGUUUUUAAUUAAUAAAUAUAAAAGAUGGAUGAAAGUAUUAGAGAAGAAGAAAGAGAUAUAGAAUCUGUUUGUGAAAUUUCUAAGAACUUAAUUACAAUUAUAUUAUAAUUUCUUCCCUAAAAUUAUUCAAAAUAUAGUAUUAGAAUUACAUAAUGCUAGGUUUUAAUAUAUAAUUAAAAAGUUUCCCAUGAACCAAAUAAUAAAAAUAUUGUAUAACUCUUUUGAAUGAAUUAUUAAAUUAGUCCAUUUAUAGGUUGACUCAGUAUUCCUGCCUUGAUUGCCAGGAAAUUUCACUAGAAAUUUCAAGUAAUUUACACAGGAAAUUUCCUGGUGAUAAACCUGGGAUAUGAUUUUCAACUUUCUUGGCAGCUGCAUCAAGGAAAAAACGUUUCAGAUGCGAAAAAUAAAGAUAAAAGUGGAAAAUAGAAGCGGAAAAAAAAUCCCAAAUAUCGACAAACAUCCCAAAUACAGAUAUCCUUAAAUUUAACCCAUUCUAUUUUACAUAAAUAAAUGAUAAGAUUAGGUGAAGAAUUAUUUGAUGUUUCCAUGCAACUUUGAAAGAAUAAUAAGGAAUAACACUUUUGAGAGAUUAAGAUUAAUUUUCAAUUCAGACAUAAUCAAUUGAGAGAUUAAUACAAACUAAAAGAUAAUAAAUAAAUAAAUAAAUAAAUAUCAGUCAAUUUGAUACAAAUACAAAAUGAUGCAAGUGGAUGCUAUCAGUGUAUUCUUGUAGCUUUCAAUUGUUUUCCCCCCUAAAUUAAGGUGUCGAAAAAUAGACCAAUGAAGCGAUCUUUACUAUCAGUGUGUCUCCCACGGCAAAAACAUUAAUGCAAUCAGUUAGUGCCUGCUGGAAAAUUACUCCAAGAAACUUCAUGGAACCACCAAAAUAAGGAAGAAAACAAAAACGUUAAUAAUGGUGAAAAUAACUUGACAUUAUCUGUCGAGAUGAUUUAAGUUUUUUUUUUUAAAUAAUUAUUUUACAAAUAUUAUAAAUUAAUGUGUUAUGGCGUCACACGUCAAUUUAAGAGAUUGUUUUUUUUAAACGUACUAACAAUCCAACACAAAGCCAUCUAAAAUAUUUACAAAUAGUUAUAGCAUUUAACUAUUUAUGUAGGGUAUUUUUAAGAAAUAUUUUUUAUUUAAAAAUAUUUUAAAAUAAUUCAUUUCCGCUUGCAUGUCAUGCUCCUCCAUUGUUUUUGCAGCCUGUCCCGUUCCAGUAUCUGCACACCACGCACUGCCGAUGUUUCCGGUGUUUUUUCCGCGUUCCUCCGUGAAUAAAAAAAUGUUAUUUUUUCUCGUUUAAUUAUUUAAAUAUUUAUUUUGAAGUGUUUUUUUUUUGGAUUGCACGAUGUAAUUUAUGUAUUUGCACAAUAGUUGUGUGAUUUACAUAAAUUUUAUUUAUAUUGAAUGAUAUUUUUCCAUCCUACAUUAACCAUAAUUCUAUAGGUAGAAUCACCUUCGAAGUGACUAAAUCUGCUUUAAUAUAUUUGAGAUUCACUCAAUGCCACUCUCAUCGGUAUUCUAAAAGCGAAGAGAAGAGUAGAAGCAAUGUGAUAGCUAUACAGGUGAGACUUAAUAAUUUACAGGUGAUAAUUAUUUUUUAAAAUAUUUUUUUUAUUUGAAAAUAUAUUAAUUUAAUGUAAAAUAAUAAAUAAAAUUAAUUAUUUUUAAUUAUUUUUUAAAAUGUAAAAACAAAGAGGAUAUAAUCAACCGUAUGUUACCUUGUAAACCGUAUGUUAGAGUCCCUCAAAUAUUCUGGCUACAGCAACCACUAUAUUGUAUGCCAAGCAGUAUUUUGUCCUUGAACCCUUGGCCCUCUAAAUUACCCAAAAAGGACAAUAAUUGAGCACAAGCGGUACAGGUCAGGCUUAAACUCAGCUUGCUAGAGCCAGUUCUCAAUUUUAGGCACCAGUUCUCAAUCGAAUUUUAGCAAAAUCAAGGAUCCAAGAAUUGGCCUCUGUAACAUGGUUUGUAUUCUGAGCCAAUCUGGGCUAGGAUUUGAAACAAAUGUAGCUCUUUUUUUCUCCUUUUAUUGUAAAAAAAUAAUAUUCAUGGAUUAAUUUUCGUGUAAUUUAAGAAAGUAAGUCCUUUAAUCAAAUUUUAGAGUGAUCAUCCUCAAUGUGUUAAAAGUAAAUGUUAAUUACCACUAAGAAGGAACGCAAAAAGACAUUCCUUUUCUUGUCAUAAAGUUUUGAAGAGCUAUCAAAACGUACUAUCGUGUAUUAUUGUCAUAAAAAUUUUCCAACUUUCAAUAUAGAGAGAGAAAUAAAAAUAAAAAGCAAAAGGGAACAACCAUUUUGAUAUUCAAUCAGUAUGAGUGAGAAAGAAAGGAAGCAUCUUUCUUGUGUGCUUUCCCUUCUUUACAUGGCUUACCCGAUGAAAAAAGCAAACACCCCAUUUUGAUUUUCAAUCAGUAUGAUUGAGAAAGAACGACAGGGCAAGGUUUGUUGAGGCUUUUCUUGGAACCUGGCUCCUUGCUUUUUUUAACGCGCGGACCAGUUGUUGCCACCAAAUUCUUUCCUCAAUAUUUACCAGCACUACACUCUUGAGAAAUUUCCAUAGAGCCUUAUAAUAUAAUAUUUUAACUUGGGUUAAAAUUUCAGAGAAAUUCAUAAAUUUGAUGAAAAUUAUAAUUUGACCAGCUUUAUAUUAUUGGGCAUAAUUUUUAAUCCGGCCAUCAGAUUGAGCUCAAAUUUUACGAGAGAUCUUAAAAUAUAUUGAAUAAAGUAUGGUUAAAAUUUUAUGAUGAACAGAGCUUGGUAGUACUAAAAAAAAAAAAAACCGUCAAAUAAAAGCAAAUCGACUUAUUAAGGAUAAAAUGGUUUUUUGCCAUUAAAAAAUAAAACAAAUAAGCUCUUUCUUCAUUUUAUAUGUUGCCGACUGGGUAGAAGCAGAAUAGGAAAAGAAAGAAAAGAAAAAGUGAGAGAGAAAAAGAUAAAAGUAAGGGAAAAACAUUAAAAAAAAUCCAAAUAAAAAAAAUAAGAAAAGUGAAGGAAUAACCUUGUAAACUUACAAUGACCAACUUAUAAAAUACUAAUUUAAAGAAGAAUCAAUUGAAGGAAAGAGGAAUUGAGAGAGGGAAAAAAUUUUAUUACUUUGUUUUCCAGUUGACAUGAGAUUGUUAUUUUAUCCCGGUUGAGGGGUUGUUACAAUAUCAAUUCAGAUUCGAUUAUAGAUAAAUUAUAUUCCACAAAACAUUGAAUGAUGUAACUUCAAUAGUGAGUUUAUUUUUACUUUCACUUCAAUUUUAUGUAUUUUUAAAUUUAUUUUUUAAUAUUUUGGAUAAUAUAUUUGAAUUAAAAUUUUAUUGUUAGUUUCAAAAGUUUAUGUACAUAAAUUAAUAAUUAAUUUUUUUAAAAAAUUAUAUAUUUAUUUAAUAACAACAGGAAAAAUUGUCUCGCAUAAAUUCCCACAUGCGUUGUGGCAGCGGUUUGCUCUGUUAUUGUUCUCAUUUCUCUUAUUGUUGAAAAAUCCCUUCACCUCCUUGGAAAUGGCAUUCCAAGUGUGCAGUAUUUAUUGUCAUAAAGUUUUUCAAACAUCCAAUAUAGAGAGAGAAAUGAAAAUAAAAAGAGCAAAAGGAAACAACCCCCACCCCAUCUUUCUUGUUCCCUUUCCCUUCUUUACAUGGCUUACUCAAUGAAAAAGCAAGCACUAAUGCACCUUCUCCACAAACUACCCCCAAUUUCGCCGCUAUAUAAAUAUAUUAUGGAAAACAAGAUAAAAAGAAAUCUUUUGGUACAUCUAUAUAUAUAUAUAUAUAUAUAUAUAUAUAUAUAUAUAUAUAUAUACAUGGUAUCAGAAUAUCUGUGAAGUAUUGCUGGGAAGUCAUAAUUUUUGACACGCCUAAUCACAGUCUUUUUUUGGAAAUUUCCAUCAUUUGAUCUUGACAGCAUCAGAUUAGACAAUUGCAUGGAAAUGGUCUUCUUAGUUUGCCGUGUGGAAAAUCAUGUCAUUUACGGGGCUGCUGGAGAGAUUUUCUAUUGACCGGUAAUUUCGCUCGAAAAUUUCUAGUAAUUUAUAAAGGAAAUUUCUACUGUAUAUGAAUUGAAAAACUAUUAUUGACUGACUUCUUAAAAAGUAUUCGCAAGAAAGCUAAAGAAUUAAAGUUUUUUAAUUUUUAAAAUUAUAAUUUAAAAUUGUAAGAAAAAAAUCAAUUGUUUUAAAAUUGUUUUCAAAAAUAAAACAUCAACUAUUUAUAUAAUAGCUAAAUCUAUUAAGAUAAAUCCAAAAUAACUAGUAAAAUCAAUGACUUGCAUUAUCAAGCUUGACGAAUUUUAAGCUUAAUCUAUUGUAUUAUCUUUGAUGAUCACUUCACAUGUAUCUCUUGCUUGUAUUUGCAAGAGAGAAGAUACCUUAUGCAAUUGCUCCAUUGCUAAUUGAUUGUUCCUUCUGCUCUCUCAUUAUUAAGCUUAAACUGUUGUAUCAUCUUAUGUUCCACAUUAAGGAUAUAUAAUUAAUUAAUCGGACCGACCAUUAUGUUAAGGAUAAGAGAUUGUGGGCGCCUCUUUUUUCUUGUUGACAACUCAUGAUUUAUUUAUAGCAGUUAAGGAUAUAAUUAAUCGGACCCACCAUUAUGUUCCACGUUAAAGAUAUAAUCCAAUGUUUCAUAAUGAUCAUCUUGAAUUUGGUUUUUUCUGCAUUAAUGUAUAACAGGUAAAAUUAAAUGAUUAUUGGAUGAAUUUGCAUAAAUAUUAAGUCCAAUAACAUAAUUAAAUUUUUAAUAAAUCAAUUUGAUUUAAUCAUGGAUCAAAUUAAUUUUUAAUUAUAUUUAAAUUAAUUUUAAUCCAAUUAAAGGAUUUAAUUAAAUGCAAGGAUUUAAUUAUACUUUAAAAGGGUUAAAUUAAUUUUAUUAGAGAUUUAAUUCAUGAAAAAUUAAGUUUGAAAACUCAAUUUAAGUUUAAUUAAAAAGAUUAAUAUUUUAAAAAAUCAAAAUUAAUUUUUAUCAAAUUAAUUAAUUAAAAUCAGGAUGCAAAAAUAUCACAACACAAUUGAAGUUUAGCUUUUAUCAUUUCAAAAGUUCCAGCCUCAUCUUCACUACUUGUAAAAUUGGGGCAGAUUAUGGACUUAACCGAGCAAUUACCGCUCGAAAUUCCUCGUGAAGGAAAUUUCCUUGUUCUUUCUCCGUAUAUUUUUUUCAUAUUAAUUAUAUUUUUCAUAAUUAUUUGCUCUGAAGAUUACCAAAUACAAAAAAAAAAAAAAUUGUUUCUAAAAUAAUAGGAUAUGAAUAAUUAACUAUAGAAACUAAAGAGUGGAUCGGUUAUCUUUAACGUUUGCAAAUAAUUAAAGAGAUAUAAAUUUUGUGAUGAGUUAUGAUUAACGCAGAAGCAAAUAAAAGAGGAACAGAAAUUAUAAGCCAAUAUUGUUUUCGGUUUCAACUUUAAAUCAAACCUAUAAAACCUAACCAUUACAGCUUCUCUCUCCAUCUUCUUCGUCUGCUUUUGUCAUGGCAUCAACUCAUCGAGUACAGGUAGAGAUACUUGAGGUCUAUCAAGUCAUCCUGUCCUUGAACUCACUUGACCCAGCCAUCGAGUUAUUUUUUCCGCUCAUCUUUUUUCCUACAAACUCACCAAGACAGCAGCGGAUUAUUUUAACUCAGUGAUCCUUCCAGGAAGGCCAGGCCGCAUUGAUUGUGUUAAAAAAAAAAAAUCUAAUUCAGCUUAGUAUCAACUGCAUUAUAAUUAUUUAGGAGGAUAGUUGAACCAUAUUUUUAAAAAAAAUUAAUUUCUUUUUUAUAAUUAUACUCCAACAGCAACUACCUCGAAAUUACCACUCCAAAUUCCAGCUCAAUAUCGAUCAACAUGUGGCUAAAAUUGAUAAAAGACACAUAAUGAUGGUAUUGUAUAUUUUGAACUAAAUUGAGGUUUUUUAAUUAUUACUUCAAAAUAUAUCAUGGUUUUAAUAGUUGGACGGUAUAUUAUAUAAAUUAUUAAAAAAUAUUUAUUUUUAUUAUAUAUGUAGUAAUAAUAAAUUAGAUGAUAAUAACAAAAGAAUAGGAAUUAGUUUGAAUAAACAGUACCAGUUCCUAUUAUGAUAUGUAUAGAGAAGAAGUUGGAAGUAUAAAAUGAAGUCAAAUAUUCUUAAUAAAAAAAACACAGAAAUAAUUAAAAUAUGUUUUUAAUAAAUAUAAAAGAUGGAUGAAAAUAUUAGAGAACAUGAAAGAGAUAUAUAAUCUCUUUGUAAGAUUUCUAAGAACUUAAUUACAAUUACAUUAUAAUUUCUUCCUUAAAUUAUUCAAAAUAUAUAUUAUUCUAGGUUUUAAUGUAAUUAAAAAGGAAGUAUUUGCAGGAAAGCUAAAGAAUUAAAUUUUUUAAUUUUUAAAAUUAUAAUUAAAAUUGUAAGAAAAUAAUCAAUUGUUUUUAAAAAUAAAACAUCAACUAUUUAUAUAAUAGCUAAAUCUAUUAAGAUAAAUCGAAAAUAACUAGUAAAAUCAAUGACUUGUAUUGACGAGUGUGUCUAUAUAUACAUAUAGGAAUUGCUGAUUCGAUUUGAAUAUGUUAUUUGAUUAGUCUAAUUCAUGAUUUGCAUUGACUCAAAAUUACCACUAAAAAUUCCUAGUUUCGUGGUGCUUUCUCGGCCUGCAAAUGAAUAUAAAGCAUAUCCUUUUAUCCUAUAUAAAGAAUACAAUUAACCUUUUUAUCUUUUAUAAUUACAAUUAUUGCAUUGCUAAUAAUUUGCAUGAAAGAAUAUUCUUUCUCUGAAAAGGGCUUGAGAAAACCCUAAGCAUAUUAUAUAAUCUCUUAUAGGAAUCUCUUUAUUAAAUCAUCAAAAUAUCAAAGUCUUUUUCCAAAGACUAUGAGUACAGUUUAUAUAUAGAAACAACCAAAUAUAAAAAUUAUUAUUUUUUAAAUAGAAAAACCAGAGAGCUUGAUAAUAUUUAAUAAAAAAAAUAAAAUAGAAAAAUUAUUCCUUUUUAAGUAGAAAAAAAUUAUAAAGAUUUUAAUAAUACUAAAUAAGAAAAAUUAAAAUUUCUAAACUAAAUUAAAAAAAAAAAGUUUUGGCUACAUUUACUUAGUCCCUGUUAUUUGUAAAGCUUAUAACUUAAUUCAAAUCAAUAAAAGUUUAGCAGUUUGAUACAAAAGCUCAUGGCCAAGUUAGAAAUAUUUGUUUUGGAUGUAAUAAAUAUUCAUAUUGGGACAUAAUAUUUAUCUUUCAAAUCCAUAAUUUAAUUGAUCAUAUAAAUAAAUUUUUUUAAAAAAAAAAAGCAAAAAGGAAACAUCUUUCUUGUUCCCUUUCCCUUCUUUACACGGCCUAGUACUCAAUGAAAAAGCAAACACCUCAUUUGAUUUUCAAUCAGUAUGAGAGUGAAAAUGAGAGAGAGGUACAAGUUUGUUUCUAUCUAAGAAAGCAAGAAGCUCCCACUAAUGCAUGUUCUCCACAAACUACCCCCAAUUUCACCAUUACAGCUCAAGUAGCUUUGAGUCAUUGAUUCCAACAAAUAGGAAUUGAAUUCAAAGGAAUAAAUCAUUAAAUGCGGAGUUGGUGCUCUCGUGUUUGUGGUGCUGAUAAAUGUAAGAACAGACAAAGAGAUGAAAUAGGAAAAAUCCAUGUAUCUAUCCUUUAUCCUGCUGUUAAUUUUUUAAAGACGCGUAUCAGGUGUUUGAUAAAAUUCCUCAACUUAAAAAAAAAAAAAAAAAAAAAAAAAACCAUGUUUAGAAUGCUUGAGUCCUUUACGAGUGGAAAGUGGGAACUAUCCACUUUCCCAUUCUCCACUGACCGUGAAAGAGGGAACUCCUGUGAGAGCUUUAUGCCACUUUCUAUCUUAGAUGUAAUGGCUUCGGCAAAAAGAAACAAAUAAAAGUUAGUGUUCGCACUGCUUUAGCCCAAGUGUCACGGGGUUAAAUUUUUCGCCUCGCAAAUAAACUCGUGCGGCAGCCUAGUCCCGCUAGACUCAGCCUUGCCUUACCCUUUCACUCGUGUUUUCCUACGACUAUGUGUUUCGCUCACUCAAGGAGGUUCUCACAAUCGUCUCGUCGUAGACAAUGCACAAACACAAGCAAGCAUAAGCAAUCACACCGAACUUUUACAAGAAUCCCUCUCAACCUUUAUUUAUCUCAUCAACAAAGGAAAUACACAAAAAUGGUGUGUGCUAUGCACAAAUUCGCAUGCUACACAGCAGAGGCUUGGCAGCCUAUUUAUAGCCAAAUGUGAGCUUCCAUUCUCACCUAGCAUCCCCUAAUUUCGGGGCAUAGUGGAGCACUAUCUCACCUAACAUGGACUAGUGGAGCACUACCUUCCCCCAUGAUCCCCAUUUUCCAUGGACUAAUGGAGUAUUAUCCCAACCAUUAUCUUUGGUUGGUGAACCACUUUCUCCACCAAUAUUCGGUGGGUUGGUGAACCACUUUCUCCACCAAUAUUCAGCCCCUCCACCCAUAUUCUGCCAGCCCUCAUGGCAGUCCCAUUUGUCUUCCUUUCUAUGUCAGCUGCUGACUUAGAAAGUCCAUCAUCUAAGCUCCACCUCCAUGCCAAGUCGCCAGCUCAAAGACUUGCACAGACCCUUGCACGCUGCCUGCCGAAUUCAUUUCUGCCGUAGUCCAUCGUUGCCGAAUUCUAGGCAAUGUGCUCUCGUUGGCGCGCCCCGCGCCUAGACCUCUAACAAACCACCCCCACUAGAAGAGUCUGACGUCCUCGUCGGAAUAGACUUGAGGUAGUCUUGAACUUGAUCCUCAAAUUGCCACAAGUCAAUAUCUUUCUCCCACGAAACCUCCUCAUUUUCCCUCCAUUUUACCAAGAAUUCUGUCCGCCGAUUCUUUCUAUGUUGGCCAAGUCGACGAUGAUCCAUGAUUUUGACAAUCCCAUCAUCGAAUUGCUUGUGAAUGGUAGGAGGAGCUCGGUGUGACUUGCUUCUCUUUGGAUCUUCGUUGUCUUCAUAAAAAGGCCGUAAGUAACUUACGUGAAAGGUAGGAUGAAGUUUCAACCGUUCGGGCAGCUUCAACCUAUAGGCCACAGCGCCUACCUUUUCGAUGACCUCAAAAGGUCCAUCGUACCUUGGCACCAACCCUCGGUGCUUCGUUGUUCCCACGAUUUUCUUCCAAAUCUGCGGAGUUAACUUGAGCAACACCUUGUCACCCACACUGAAUUCCAGCCAUGUCCGCUUUUGGUUGGCGUAUUUGAGCAUUCUUUUCCUUGCCUUACGCAAGCUAUCUUGUGCUUGCUCAAAUAGCUCCUGCCGCUCCAUCGCAAACCUGUAUGCUGUUGGACUCUUCCCACCCGUUAUCUGCACUGCAAUCUCCGCAGGAGUUUGGGGUUGAGCUCCCAACACUAGCUCAAACGGACUUGCUUCCGUUGCCGAGGAUUUUUGAAGAUUGUAGCAAAACUGCGCACUAUCAAGCAACUCCAACCAGUUUCGUUGCAUCGCUGUCACGUAGUGUCUCAAAUAUUCCUCAAGCAAAACAUUUAUCCUUUCCGUCUGCCCAUCAGUUUGCGGAUGGUUGGCAGUUGAAAACUUCAGCCUUGUUCCCAUCAUGUUGAACAAUGCUGUCCAGAAUCGGCCUGUGAAUCGCACAUCGCGAUCACUCACAAUGUCUGAAGGCACUCCAAAGUACUUCACCACGUUUCGGUAGAAUAAUUCAGCAGCCACUUCGGCUGUACACACCGUCGGGGCAGCAACAAACACCGCAUACUUGGUGAAUCUGUCCACAACAACCAUGAUCAUGUUCAUGCCAUCCACCUUUGGAAAACCAACAAUAAAAUCCAUUGAAACUGACACCCAAGGCUUUUCUGGAAUCGGCAGCGGCUGUAACAAGCCUGCCUCUUGCUGCCGCAAAGUCUUGUCUUGUUGACACACUAGACAAGUCCUGACGUAGAGUUCUACAUCAUCUUCCAUCUUCGACCAAUAAUAAGUCUGCGACAAGAGAGCAACCAUCCUUUCCCGUCCCGGAUGUCCAGCCCACUGCGGAUCAUGAGUUUCCGUCAUUAAGUACUUUCGCAGCUCUCCCUUUGGCACGAAGAUUCGACCCCCCUUUGCAUAGAGUAAGUCCUGCUCCAACCAAUACCUCCGUAUUGUCCCUUCUCGUACAAGCUCAACCAUUUUCUUGUACGCUGCAUCCUCCGUAGCAGCUUGGCGAAGUCGAUCCAGCAUAUCUGACUCCACCUGAAAAAUAGCAAGAAUAGUAGCUAUUACCUCGCGUCUGCUGAGUGCAUCCGCAACUUGAUUGUGGCUCCCUAGUUUGUGCUCCCAUACGAAGUCAUAUUCGGCCAAGAAUUCCUGCCACCGAGCUUGUCGUUGCGACAAUUUCUUUUGCGUCUUGAAAAAUGUAUUGGCAACAUUGUCGGUCUUGACAAUAAAUUUUGGCCCCAGCAGAUAUACUCUCCAUAUGCCAAGGCAGUGCACUACUGCCGUCAUUUCCUUCUCAUGGGUCGAGUAAUUCCGCUCCGCAUCACUUAGCUUCCGACUCUCGAAAGCAAUCGGAUGUCCCUCUUGUACAAGCACUCCACCAAUAGCCCUAUCCGAAGCAUCAGUAUGCACUUCGAAUGGCUUCUCAAAAUCAGGCAGCCCCAAGACUGGAGCUGACGCUACUGCUGUCUUCAGCUUCUCAAAAGCUUGUUGGCAGUCAACUGUCCAUUCCCAACUCCGAUCUUUCUUGAGAAGAUCUAAGAGAGGAGUUGUCUUCUUGCUAUACCCCUCGAUGAACCGUCUGUAGUAGUUUGCAAGCCCCAAAAAGGAUCUCAAUUCCGGGACUGAUUUUGGUGAUGUCUGUCAUAACCCAAUUUUUGAUCAUUUUAUUAUUAUUAUUAUUAUUAUUAUUUUAUUUAUUGAAAAGGAUAAAAAAAAUUGAUAAAAAAAAUAAUAAUAAUGAUGAUGAGAAAACAAGUAAAAUGAAGAAUGAAUUAAUUUUUGGGUUAAGGGCAAUAUGAAUGGAAGUUUUGGGGUUUAAUUAAACUUUUGAAUUAAUCUAAUUAAGUUUGGAAUUAAUUUGUUUAAUUAAGAGUUUAAUUGGAGAAUUGAUAAAAUUUUGAGACUUAAUUAAGCUUGAAAUUAAUUUAAUUCAUCCAAUCAAGGAUUUAAUUGGAGAAUUAAUAAGUUUUGAGACUUAAUUAAGCUUGGAAUUAAUUUAAUUAAUCCAAUUAAGGGUUUAAUUGGAUAAUUGAUAAGUUUUAAGACUUAAUUGGACUUGGAUUUAAUUAAAUUAAUGAAAUCAGGGACUUAAUUGAAGAAAUAUCAAAGUUUGGGGUUAAUUGGGGUUGAAAUUGCAACAGAUUAGAGUCCAAGGACUAUCUUGAAACAGGCGCGGGAAUAUAGGGGCAAUUACAGUUUAAACCAGGGGCUUAAUUACAAAAGUUUCGAAACUUCACGGGUCAAAAUGAAAUAGCCGCCUCAUAUCCCAAAACGGCGUCGUUUUAAAGAACGUUGUUCAUCUUCUUCUUCUUCAAACAGAGACCGUUUCCAGCAGUAAUGAUCAGCGACCUCAGUUAUGGACGUUUUAAUGCUUUCGUCCCUCUGCAUGCCAUCCGUUACCACUGAUCGGACUCUAUAAAAAGAGGAACAAUGAAGAAAUGGCGGCGGAGAGAUACCCAAGGGUUGAAUCACAGAACCGAAAGAGAGAGAGAAGCUAAAACCCAGACUCGAAAUAGAACCAGGGGGAUCAUAGAAACGAAAAAAACACAAACGAAGUAGACACCAAGGGGGACUGAAACAAGAAAAGACAGUGGGCAGAGCAGGAACCGAAACACCAAAACUGGGGAAAGAAUCGGCAGAUCACAGAGCCGAACACAGACUGAAACCAAACCCAAAUUCGAAAGGAUAAGCCAGCACCGUCCUUUUUUCUUCAUCACAAGGACUGAGAAAGUAAGGAAAAAAAAAAGAAUAGCAGACGAACAGAAGAGGAAGUAGAGGAGAGAGUGCCCGUUCGACCAUCAACGCCAUGUCUUCAUCGCCAUCGGCUUUGUCUCCAACAGUUACGGGUCAGUUGCAUCAUUUCCCCUGCUUACAAUUUUAAUUCCCCCAACACUGUGCAUUUGAAAUUUAAUUAACACUGACUGUAGCCAGCGUGCGUGAACAAUUCACGCACGCUGGCGCCUGGUCACUGGCUUGGGCCAGUGACCAGGCUGGGUUGGGCUGGGUCUAGCCCAGCCCAUGUGGGCUGAGCUGGGCCCAGCCCGAAAAAAAAUAAAAAAAUAAAAAAAAUAAAAAGCAGAAAAAUAAAAAAUAAAAAAAAUAAAAAUAAAAAUAAAAAAUGUGUAUGCAUGAAUAAAAAUAAUGUAAAUUUAUUGGUUUAUUCACUGACGCCAGAGUCAGGAAUAAAAAUGUGCAUGCGUAAAAAUAAACUUAUUUUUAUUUAUUUAUUCACUGGCAUUAGAGUAGGAAAUAAAAAAUAUAUUGAUCUAAUUUUUGUCGUAGCUACGAAUUUUUACCAACGCCAGAGUUGGAAUUAUUCGAGCUCGAAUAUUCACUGGCGUCAGAGUCAGAAAUAUUAUAAACAAAUCAUCACAGCAUAAAUUAAUAAAUAUUUAGCAAUUUAAGACAAAACCAACAAUGCAGUCUGCCUUAGGCAGAACGUUUAAGGAGUGAUAAUAUCUUCCCUUUUACAUAACCAAUCCCGAAUCAUAGAAUCUCUAUUGACCAGUUAGGGUUCCUAGUGACCAUAAUACUAGGUGGCGACUCCUCAAACAAGACAUUUUUCCCUAAAAGAAUCGGAUGUCAGAAAUCUGUUCUUUUUCCAUAAUUCAAGUGAAUCAUUAUUUUUUGUGGGCCGCCGUGAUGUCGGGUGCGACAAUGUCCAUUCGACGAUGGCUUGGAUCUUUCGUGGAUCCAUCUUCACCUGUCCUUCUCCAAUUAUUUUUCCCUCUUUACAUACAGUUCAUGUUCUCUCAAUCUACUUAAGACUUUAGAAAGAUGAGUUACAUGUUCUUCGAUUCCUCUACUAUAGAUUACAAUGUCAUCUAAGUAGACUGCAACAAAAUUAUCUAAGAAAUCAUAUAACACAUCAUUCAUUAAAUUACAAAACGUUGCUGGAGCAUUUGUUAAGCCAAAUGGCAUAACUAGAAACUCGUAUGAACCAUACCUCGUCACACAAGUCAUCUUAUGCUCAUCUCCGUCAGCAACUCUCACUUGCCAAUACCCCGAUCGCAAGUCCAGCUUCGUAAAGACAGAAGCGCCACAUAAUCUGUCCAUCAAAUCCUGAAUCAAAGGAACAUGAUAUUUGUUUUUGAUGGUUACCUUGUUGAGUGCCCGGUAGUCCACACACAUGCGAAGGCUCCCAUCCGCCUUCUUCUGAAACAACACCGGAGCACCAUACGGAGCCUUGGAAGGUCGAACGAAUCCCGACUCAAUCAAUUCUUCCAAUUGCUUCCUCAAUUCUGCCAAUUCUCUUGGCGACAUUCGGUAAGGAGCUUGAGAUGGUGGCUUUGCCCCCGGCACCAGCUCAAUUCGAUGAUCAACAGCCCUCUUAGGCGGGAGUUUCUUUGGUAGCUGAGGUGGCAUAACAUCUUCGAAUUGAUGCAGCACGCUAGCAAUCUCGUUCGGCACCUCCCCACAAUAAUCAGUUCUCUCCUCCACUAUUGUUGCUAGAAACACAUCCCCUCCUUUCCGCAAUGCUUUAUCGAUUGCAAUGGCCGAUAUUAAGCUCUUCUUUCCUUUCGCAACAUUCGCAACUGCGACGUUGCAGCAGGGAACAAAACAUGGGCAUCCCUCACUCGCAAUCAUAAUCCCAUUGAGAUACGGCAUUAAAACAAUCUUGGCUUUCCGUAGAAAAUCAAGGCAAAGGAUAAUAUCAUAAUCAUCAAGAGUUAUGACAAGCACAUCAUGCUUACCUCUCCACCGAUCCAGCACUAUCAGCACAUCAUAAGACAUCCCAGCAAUUUUCUGCGCCUUUGAGUUCACUGCCUUCAUGGAUGUCUGGCUAUCACUCAGCCGCAAGCCGAGUUCCUUCACCAGCCGAUCUGCCACAAAUGUGUGGGUUGCGCCUGAAUCCAGCAUAGCAUUUAUAUUAUUGCCGUUUAUCUCAAUCUUUACAUACAUGAGGCUGUCCGUUGCCCCUGGCUUCCCUUUUCGUAAGGUCUCAAUCCUUGCCAAGUCUUUCUCAACAUGGCAGUUUUCGGCAGCCGCAUCCUCUGAUUCUGCUACCAAGCAAUUUAACACACACAUGGGAUUGACGUGCGUAAGCAUCCCCUCUUCAUCAUCGCUAUUCCCAGCCCGAAUAGCAUUCAGCUUCUCCCUCUUUGGGCAUUCCCUCGCAAAGUGAGGACCAUCACAAAUGAAGCAUGUAAGGUUCGGUUUAGUACCAUUACCUGGUGUGCUCGUAAAUUUUGACUUGCCUUUCUCCGCGGCAGUAGCCUUUCCUGCACCCCCACCGAACUUCUUCUUUGGCCUUUCCUCCUUGCUCUUUCCCUUUGACUUGAAGGAGGCUGAUUUAUAGCUCUCUCUCGUAGGAGCUUUAUAAUCUACCAAAUUGUCCGCGGCAGCAAUAGCAGAAGACAGAUCCUUCACAUUCUGUCGUCGUAGCUCUGCUUGCGCCCAAGGUUGCAAUCCGGACAUAAAAUUGAACAACCUGUCCUCCUCGGACAUGUUCUCGAUGUCGAGAAUUAAAGAACUGAAAGACUUAACAUACUCACGAACUGACCUGUCCUGUUUGAGUCUUUUCAAUUCGUCUCAUGCAAUCCACGAAGUGUUGUUUGGGAGGAACUGCUCCUUUAGCUCCUUCUUGAGACGAUCCCAUGUCUCAAUCUUUGGACGUCCCGCACUUAGAUCAUCUUUGGUUCUCGUCCGCCACCAAAGCUUUGCGUCACCCGUGAGAUACAUCACGGUGAGAUCAACUUGUUCCGCUGCGCCAAUCCUCGCAACACUGAAGUAUUGCUCCAUGUCCCAUAAGAAAUUUUCCAGCUCUUUGGAACUUCUUGCCCCACCAAAGCACUUUGGUUCGGGCAACUUAGGCUUAGAAGAACUUACCCCAAGAGGAGUGUUUGUGACUGCCCUCUUCAGAACAGCAAUCAUCUCUUCGGCAGCAGCCAAUCGUUCACUCGAUUCUGCCGCAAGCGAGAUGUACAAGCUCUCAGCGCUUUCAGCGCUAUCCAUCGCUUCCUUCAAGCGAUCCAAGACAGUGCGUUCUUCCUCUUCGUCAUCUGGCCCUAUCAAAGUCUCCAGACGCGUCAACCGUUCCCGAAUGGCUUCCAUGGCUUCGGGCUGCACGUUGUUGAGUCAACCGUGCUCUGAUACCAAUUGUCACGGGGUUAAAUUUUUCGCCUCGCAAAUAAACCCGUGCGGCAGCCUAGUCCCGCUAGACUCAGCCUUGCUUUACCCUUUCACUUGUGUUUUCCUACGACUAUGUGUUUCGCUCACUCAAGGAGGUUCUCACAAUCGUCUCGUCGUAGACAAUGCACAAACACAAGCAAGCAUAAGCAAUCACACCGAACUUUUACAAGAAUCCCUCUCAACCUUUAUUUAUCUCAUCAACAAAGGAAAUACACAAAAAUAGUGUGUUCUAUGCACAAAUUCGCAUGCUACACAGCAGAGGCUUGGCAGCCUAUUUAUAGCCAAAUGUGAGCUUCCAUUCUCACCUAGCAUCCCCUAAUUUCGGGGCAUAGUGGAGCACUAUCUCACCUAACAUGGACUAGUGGAGCACUACCUUCCCCCCAUGAUCCCCAUUUUCCAUGGACUAAUGGAGUAUUAUCCCCACCAUUAUCUUUGGUUGGUGAACCACUUUCUCCACCAAUAUUCGGUGGGUUGGUGAACCACUUUCUCCACCAAUAUUCGGCCCCUCCACCCAUGUUCUGCCUGCCCUCAUGGCAGUCCCAUUUGUCUGCCUUGCUAUGUCAACUGCUGACUUAGAAAGUCCAUCAUCUAAGCCCCACGUCCAUGCCAAGUCGCCAGCUCAAAGACUUGCACAGACCCUUGCACGCUGCCUGCCGAAUUCGUUUCUGCCGCAGUCCAUCGCUGCCGAAUUCUAGGCAAUGUGCUCUCAUUGGCGCGCCCCGCGCCUAGACCUCUAACACCAAGAGUCUUUCAUGGUUGCCUUGAAUUGAUUGACAGGAAGAAGUCUGAAUGUUUUUAGAAAGAAGCAGCCUUCAAGCUUUUCAAAACCAAUCUCUGUAUCUAUUAACAAAAACUCUAAAUCACGAGUACUAGACACAAUUAAUUAUGUUUUUUGUAAUUAUUAGAUAAUUGAAAUCAUCACUAACUCCUUUGUUCAUUUUCAUCUUUUUUUAUUACCCUUAGCAUGAUACACAGAAAAGAAGAAGGGUUCAAGAGAGAACAAUAAUGGAGGGGAAUCAAAAUCUUUGUUUGAUUUUAUGUUGUGUUUUUGGUACAUUGAUCAACAAUAGCAUGGAAGAGCUUGAUAGCAAUAACCUUUUCGACCUCAAUAAUUAAUGUUAACGCGUGGAUCCAGUUGUUGUGGAAACUUUGCAAAGGAUCUGCAGGAAGAAAAAUGAAAUUUGCUUGGUUGUUUGGUUUGUCUGUCCAGUACCUGAGAAAAAACAAAAGGAAAGCACUAUUCUUAUAAAUAAUGCAGGGGUAUACUAGAUUUUUCUCAUGAGAUCACAAUAAUUUAAUGAAAAGUAAACAAAAUAAAUUAUAAAAUUUAAUUUUUAAUUAAAUCUAUAUUAAAAGAUAAAAUUAAAAAAAAAAACUAAUUAAAAAAAAAUCUAAAUCAACUGAAUUAACUUGUUAAACCUAAGAUCCGUAUCAUGAGAAUGUGAUAACUAAAUAUAAAAAAAAUUUAAUAUUAAUGAACUAAAUUGAACAAACAAAAUUAAUUAUAAAGAAAAAAGCAAAAAUAAAAACACUAUAACCGAAGAAGAUCAGUUUUAGUUAUCAAUCGAAUUUUAGCAAAAUCUAGGAUCCAAGAAUUGGCCUCUGUAACAUAGUAUGUAUUCCGAGCCAAUCUGGGCUAGGACUUGAAACAAAUGUUGUAUACUGUUUGCACUGUCACUUUGCUUACCCUCUUAGGUUUUUAUUGAGAUUAGGAUUCUAUUGUAGCUCUUUUUUCUCCUUUUAUUAUAAUAAAAUAAUAUCUAUGGAUUAAUUUUGGUAUAAUUUAAGAAAGUAAGUCCUUUAAUCAAAUUUUAGAUUGACCAUCCACAAUGUGUUAAAAGUAAAUGUUAAUUUAUAAAAUAAUAUCCUUACUGCGCUAUAAAGCUGAUAUUGCUGUUGAUAGCUUUUGCUGGGUUGAUCUCUUUGGUUUAUCUCUAUCAUUCUGGGCAAAAGAUGAUUUUCACGCAGUUAUAGCUCGUUAUGGCUGUUUGAUUGGAAUUGAUAAUGCUAAAAGCACUUUUACAAAUUUGACGGCAGCAAGGGAAGGGUGUUAUUCUGCAGAACUCGGAAGGAGAUUAGUAGAUAUUGACCAUGUUGUUUCAUUGUCAGGGAAAGCACUUAUUUCUUUAAUGUAUGUUUCCGGAGAUUAUUGCGGUGGGAUAUGUUUUGGCAGCUAAUGCAAUUCACAAUGACCUUGGUCCUUGAGAUCUUUACCUAUUUUGGUUUUGGUCACCAAACUUCAUUUGUUUUCAAUUACAUCCUUGCAAGUUCUACUAACACGGUUCUAUUUGUUGUUAUCCACUUCGAUUUUCAUGUUCUUGCAUUUAUCAUAUAUCUUUAAAUAUUCCUACAUUGAAUUAGAAAUCAAUUUUUUUUAACCCUCCUAACCCAGUUGCUAUUAUGGCUAGUUCUCCACCUGCAUGUUCUUCCUUCUGAAGCGUGGCAUCGGUCUUUAGAUACACUUACUUAGUCCCUGUUAUUUAUAAAGCUUCUAAUUUAGUUCAAGUCAAUAAAAGCUUAGCAGUUUGAUACAGAAGCUCAUGGCCAAGUAAGAGAUGUUUGUUUUGGAUGUAAUAAAUAUUCAUAUUGGAACAUAAUAUUCAUCUCUCAAAUCCCUAAUCCAGUAGAUCAUAUAAAUAAUCGUUACCUUUUAUGAAUAUGAUUAUUGCAUUGCUAAUAAUUUGCAAGAAAGAUGAUGAACAUUUUUUAGUGAAUUAAGUUCAAUUAUAGAAAAUCCUGUACAAAUUAUACAAAAUUCUGCUUUAAGUUCUUGGAACCUCGCUUUGGGAUUAAUUAGUGAGAAUAAGAAAAUUCUCUGUGAAUUAUACAAAAUUUAUUAGUAGUCAUCGAUAUAAUAUUUAUUAUAGGUUAUCAAUAUUAAAUAAUGACUUAUUUUCUAAUAUAAACUAUUGAACGGGAUUUGUAUAUAAAAAUAAUUAAAUUCAGAUUUUUCAAUUAUCUUUAAACAUAUUACAGUUUUAAUCGGUGAACGGUCUAUCAUAUAAAUUAUAAAAAAAAUAUUUAUUAUAUAUAUAUAUAGUAAUAACAAAUUAAAUGAUAGUAACGUUAUUGUAAAGAAUAUGUUAUACUCAUUGUCAAAUUGGAUGAGUUACGUGGAGAAGGAUGCUCAUUGUCAAACUGCUAUUCCUAUCACAUUAUUAUAAAGAAUAAAAGCAACGGAAGAAUAUUGUUUGAAUAUAAACGAAUAGCAGCGACUGUGGUCCACUUGGGAAUUGAGACUAUGCAUAUAUUCAGUGCAUCGUAUUCGGUUCCUUCCCGGUGAGAUGCCAAAUUGGUUGAGCAGUGGAGAAUAAAAGCAACGGUUGGGAUUCAUUUGAUCUCGUACACCUUAAAGAAUGUAGGGUCCAUGCAAUUAAAGAAUGUACGUUGUCGAGGUACUAUUUCUUUUAAUAUUUCUUGCACAAGAAACACACAAUUAGCACUCCAAAUUAAUAUUUUUUAUAUAUAUAUAUAUAAUUAUACUCCGUCAGCAACUACCUCGAAAUUACCUCAAUACCAAUACACGCUUGAGAAAUUUCCUUGCUUUUUUUUCCUGUAUGUGUUACAUUUUUAUCUUUUAUAAUUAUAAUUAUUGCAUUGCUAAUAAUUUACAAGAAAUAAUAUUCUUUAUCUGAAAAGGGCUUGAGAAAACCUAAGCAUUCCAAGUAUGAAGUGUUUUAUUGUUUUAUUGCUAUAAAGUUUUUCACACUUACAAUAUAGAAAGAGAAAAAUUAAAAAAGAAAAAGAAAAAAAAGAAAGAGCAAAAGGAAACACUAAUGCAGUAUGAGAGUGAGAAUGAGAGAGAGGUAAUUUCGACUAUACAUAGAACUCGACUGGACAGAAGACUUAAAGAUAAAAUAGCUUUGAUUUACAACCAUGGCUUCAAGGGCCUGGAAUAAAACCAGGUACAAGUUUGUUUCUAUCUAAGAAAGCAAGAAGCUCCCACGGUGCACGCUCUCAACAAACAAGUAGGAAUUGAAUUCAAAGGAAUAAAUCAUUAAAUGCGGAGUUGGUGUUCUCCUGUUUGUGGUUCUGAUAAAUGUAAGAACGGACAGAGAGAUGAAAUAGGAAAGAUCCAUGUAUCUAUUAGUUGGCAGCAGUUAUCAUUCGGCCCUUGCCGCCCACGAAAUCCCUUUGUCCUGCUGUUAAUUUCUUAAUGACGCGUAUCAGGUGUUUGAUAAAAUUCCUCUGCUGGAAAAAAAAAAAAACCAUGUUUAGAAUGCUUUAGUCCUUUUCGAGUGGAAAGUGGUGUGAAAGUGGGAAGUACUGUGAGAGCUUUAUGCCACUUUCUAUCUUAGAUGUAAUUGCUUUGGCAAAAAGAAACAAAUAAAAGUUAGUGUUCGCACUGCUUUAGCCCAAGAGUCUUUCGUGAUCGGCUCUGUUUAUUUGCAGGAAAGUAAAUUUUUUUUGAAAAGUAAAUUUUAAAAAAAAUAAAUUUCAAAAAUGUAUUUUUCAAUGAAAAAAAAAAAAGAACAUAAAAAAAAAUAAAAUAUGUUGGUAAUAAAUAUAAAAGAUGGAUGAAAAUAUUAAAAAAUAAGAAAGAGAUAUAGAAUCUCUUUGUAAAUUUUCUACAAACUUAAUUACAAUUAUAUUAUAAUUUCUUUCCUAAAAUUAUUCAAAAUAUAGUAUUAGAAUUAUAUAAUACUCGGUUUUAAUAUAUAAUUAAAGAGUCUUUCCUAAAUCAAAUAAUAAAAAUAUCGUAUAACUCUUUUGGAUGAAUUGUUAAGUAGGGACUGUUUGGGGUCCUGACAAGGCGGAUUUUAUUUGAAUAUAUUAUUUGAUUAGUGUUGACUCUACUAUUGCUGCAUUGACGGGAAAUUUCAGUAUUCCAUAUCCUUGCUUUACUCUGCAGCUGACUUCUCUGUCCCAUUGCUACCAUUUCAUAGCCAACUCUUUGUUAUAUUUAACUUACUCUUCUUUGCUUCUUGUUCGUAACGAUAACUUGAAAGCCUUACGUUCAGAUAGAUAAUCAUUGACCAGUUCAUCCUAUAUCAUUCUAUUUAAUUUAGAAAUGCAGAAAGAAAAACGCAAGCAAUCCAAAGAUGAAGAAAUCGAUUCAUCCUCGCGAAAGAGAAGAAAAGCUGACCUCAGUAAGCCUAUUUAGAGAUUACAAUUAACCUCAUUUCAAUAUCAUAGCUUUGGAAUUUCAUAGCUAAGUCUUUGUUAUAUUGCUCCAUUGGUAAUUGACUGUGCCUUGAUUUCUGCAGCUGCCAUGAUAGAGCCGGAGUCUUCUCGAUCUAGACCAGAAGGGGCCUAUGAUGUCUUCUUGAGUUUUAGAGGAGAAGACACUCGCAAGUCAUUUACAGAUCAUCUAUACACUGCCUUGGUCCAAGCAGGAAUCCACACUUUUCGAGAUGAUGAUGAACUUCCGAGAGGAGAAGAAAUCUCCCAUCAUCUCCUCAGGACGAUUCAAGAAUCAAAGAUAUCCAUAGUUGUCUUCUCAAAAGGAUAUGCUUCUUCUAGAUGGUGUCUCAAUGAACUUGUAGAGAUUCUUAAGUGCAAAAAUAGGAAAACCGGUCAGAUUGUUCUUCCUAUAUUCUAUGACAUUGAUCCUUCAUAUGUGAGAAAACAGAAUGGCAGUUUUGCAGAAGCAUUUGUUAAACAUGAAGAGCGUUUUGAAGAGAAGUUGGUGAAGGAGUGGAGAAAAGCUCUUGAGGAGGCUGGAAAUCUAUCUGGAUGGAAUCUCAAUGAUAUGGCAAAUGGGUAUGCCUUUUCUCUCUAAAUUUCACUUGCAGACGUUUAUGGAGUAAUUUUACAUUACAUUUUUCAAUGUGAAGUAACAAAAUAUUUCUUUUUAGCAUACUUAAUUGACUUGCUAUCGAUGACUUGCUUUUUUUCUGUGAGCAGGCAUGAAGCAAAAUUUAUCAAAGGGAUUAUCAAGGAUGUGUUGAAUAAAUUAGAUCCCAAGUACUUAUAUGUUCCUGAACACCUAGUAGGUAUGGAUCAGCUUGCUCACGAUAUUUUGUACUUUCUAAGUACUGCAACAGAUGAUGUACGCAUUGUGGGCAUACAUGGGAUGCCAGGAAUAGGAAAGACAACUAUAGCAAAAGUUGUAUUUAAUCAACUCUGCAAUGGAUUCGAGGGAAGCUGUUUUCUUUCGAAUAUCAAUGAAACAUCAAAACAAUUUAAUGGUCUGGCUCUUUUACAAAAGCAACUUCUUCAUGAUAUUUUAAAACAAGAUGCUGCGAACAUCAAUUGUGAUGAUAGAGGAAAGGUUCUGAUCAAAGAGCGACUUUGUUGUAAAAGAGUUCUUGUUGUUGCUGAUGAUGUUGCUCAUCAAGACCAGCUAAUAGCUUUGAUGGGAGAUCGAAGUUGGUUUGGUCCCGGAAGUAGAGUAAUUAUUACAACAAGAGAUUCAAAUCUUCUUCGUGAAGCAGAUCAAACAUAUCAGAUCGAAGAAUUGAAACCAGAUGAGUCCCUUAAGCUUUUCAGCAGGCAUGCCUUUAAGGACUCCAAGCCAGGAAAAUAUUAUAUUGAGCUUUCAAAGAAAGUCGUUGGUUACUGUGGAGGACUUCCUUUAGCUCUUGAGGUUAUAGGAGCUCUUCUGUACAGGAAAAACAGAGGUAGAUGGGAAAGUGAAAUUGACAACUUGAGCAGAAUUCCAAACAACGAUAUUCAAGGAAAGCUUCUAAUAAGUUAUCACGCACUUGAUGAUGAACUACAAAGGGCAUUCCUUGAUAUUGCAUGCUUCUUUAUUGGUUUAGAGAGAGAAUACGUCGCAAAAGUGCUAGGAGCCCGUUGCCGUUACAAUCCAGAAGUUGUUUUGGAAACUCUCUGUGAAAGGUCUCUGAUUCAAUUUCAUAUGUGUAUAAUUAAAGAUGAAAGGCAGUUAUUUGAAAGGAUGGUAACCAUGCAUGAUCUAUUACGAGACAUGGGAAGGGAGGUCGUUCGUGAAUCGUCUCCAAAAGAAC
This 83700-nucleotide long non-coding RNA is filed under the name Populus tremula. RNAcentral's name for it is "long non-coding RNA (PTRE_LNC001719)". The record is from RNAcentral. Lineage: Eukaryota; Viridiplantae; Streptophyta; Magnoliopsida; Malpighiales; Salicaceae.